This 68126-nucleotide long non-coding RNA is filed under the name Triticum aestivum (bread wheat). RNAcentral describes it as "long non-coding RNA (TAES_LNC010137)". Lineage: Eukaryota; Viridiplantae; Streptophyta; Magnoliopsida; Poales; Poaceae. The record is from RNAcentral.
GGGAGCAUUUUGUGUGACGAAAAUGACGCAUGGCCAAACUAUAUGAUUUUGUAGGGAUGAGCUUUCUUUGGCUAUGUAAUUUUGAGAAGACAUAAUUGCUUGGUUAGUAUGCUUGAAGUAUUAUUAUUUUUAUGUCAAUAUUAAACUUUUGUCUUGAACCUUUCGGAUCUGAAUAUUCAUGCCAUAAUAAAGAAAAUUACAUUAAAAAUUAUGUUAGGAAGCAUUCCGCAUCAAAAAUUCUAUUUUUAUCAUUUACCUACUCGAAGACGAGCAGGAAUUAAGCUUGGGGAUGUUGAUACGUCUCCAACAUAUCUAUAAUUUUUCAUUGUUCCAUGCUAUUAUAUUAUCUGUUUUGGAUGUUUAAUGGGCUUUAAUAUGCACUUUUAUGUUAUUUUUGGGACUAUCCUAUUAACCGGAGGCCCAGUGCCAGUUUCUGUUUUUUUGCCUAUUUCAGUGUUUCGCAAAAAAGGAAUAUCAAACGGAAUCCAAACGGAACAAAACCUACGCGAGGAUCUUUCUUGGAACAAACGUCAUCCAGGAGACUUGGAGGGGAAGUCAGAGACGCAACAAGGAGGCCACAAGGUAGGGGGGCGCGCCCACCACACUAGGGCGCGCCCCCACCCUCGUGGGCCCCUCGUAGAUCCACCGACGUACUUAUUUCGCCUAUUGAUACGUCUCCAACGUAUCUAUAAUUUAUGAAGUAUUCAUGCUAUUAUAUUAUCAACCUUGGAUGUUUUAUAUGCAUUUAUAUGCUAUUUUAUAUGAUUUUUUGGACUAACCUAUUAACCUAGAGCCCAGUGCCAGUUUCUGUUUUUUCCUUGUUUUUGAGUUCUACAGAAAAGGAAUAUCAAAAGGAGUCCAAUUGAUGUGCCAAUUUUUUUACGAUUUUUGAUGGCCCAAAAGAAGACCCCGGAGUAAAAGAGUUGGGCCAGGAGAGUCCCGGGGCNNNNNNNNNNNNNNNNNNNNNNNNNNNNNNNNNNNNNNNNNNNNNNNNNNNNNNNNNNNNNNNNNNNNNNNNNNNNNNNNNNNNNNNNNNNNNNNNNNNNNNNNNNNNNNNNNNNNNNNNNNNNNNNNNNNNNNNNNNNNNNNNNNNNNNNNNNNNNNNNNNNNNNNNNNNNNNNNNNNNNNNNNNNNNNNNNNNNNNNNNNNNNNNNNNNNNNNNNNNNNNNNNNNNNNNNNNNNNNNNNNNNNNNNNNNNNNNNNNNNNCUCCUUGACGUGAGACUGACGCCAAAAAUUCCUAUAAAUACAGAAACCUCGGAAAAUUAACCUAGAUCGGGAGUUCCGCCGCCAGAAGCCUCCGUAGCCACCAAAAACCAAUCUAGGCCCUCUCCGGCACCCUGCCGGAGGGGGCCAUCAUCACCGGAGGACAUGGAGGAGGAUCUCGGAGGGGCCAUCAUCACCAUGAAGGCCAAGGACCAGAGGGGGAACUGAUGUCUACUACACAACCUUCUUCUUGUAGACGUUGUUGCGCCUCCAAAUGCAGAGAUUUGUAGGACAGUAGCAAAUUUCCCUCAAGUGGAUGACGUAAGGUUUAUCAAUCCGUAGGAGGCAUAGGAUGAAGAUGGUCUCUCUCAAGCAACCCUGCAACCAAAUAACAAAGAGUCUCUUGUGUCCCCAACACACCCAAUAUAAUGGUAAAUUGUAUAGGUGCACUAGUUCGGCAAAGAGAUGGUGAUACAAGUGGUAUAUGGAUGGUAGAUAAUAGUUUUUGUAAUCCGAAAAUAUAAAAACAGCAAGGUAACUAAUGGUAAAAGUGAGCGUAAACGGUAUUGCAAUGCGUUGAAACAAGGCAUAGGGUUCAUACUUUCGCUAGUGCAAGUUCCCUCAACAAUAAUAACAUAAUUGGAUCAUAUAACUAUCCCUCAACAUGCAACAAAGAGUCACUCCAAAGUCAAUAAUAGCGGAGAACGAACGAAGAGAUUAUGGUAGGGUACGAAACCACCUCAAAGUUAUUCUUUCCAAUCAAUCCAUUCGGCUAUUCCUAUAAGUGUCACAAACAGCCCUAGAGUUCGUACUAGAAUAACACCUUAAGACACAAAUCAACCAAAACCCUAAUGUCACCUAGAUACUCCAAUGUCACCUCAAGUAUCCGUGGGCAUGAUUAUAUGAUAUGCAUCACACAAUCUCAGAUUCAUCUAUUCAACCAACAGAUAGAACCUCAAAGAGUGCCCCAAAUUUCCUACCGGAGAAUCACGACGAAAACGUGUGCCAACCCCUAUGCAUAGGUUCAUGGGCGGAACCCGCAAAUUGAUCACCAAAACAUCAAGUGAAUCAUGUGGUAUCCCAUUGUCACCACAGAUACGCACGGCAAGACAUACAUCAAGUGUUCUCAAAUCUUUAAAGACUCAAUCCGAUAAGAUAAAUUCAAAGGGGAAACUUAAUCCAUUACAAGAGAGUAGAGGGGGGAGAAAACAUCAUAAGAUCCAACUAUAAUAGCAAAGCUCGCGAUACAUCAAGAUCGUACCACCUCAAGAACAUGAGAGAGAGGGAGAGAUCAAACACAUAGCUACUGGUACAUACCCUCAGCCCCGAGGGAGAACUACUCCGUCCUCGUCAUGGAGAGCACCGGAAUGAUGAAUAUGGCCACCGAAGAGGGAUUGCCCCCACUAAUAGGGUGCUGGAACGGGUCUAGAUUGGCUUUCGGUGGCUAUGGAGGCUUCUGGCGGUGGAACUCCCGAUCUAUUGUGCUCCCUAAUGUUUUUAGGGUAUAUGGAGAUAUAUAGGCGGAAGAAGGAUGUCAGGGGGGCCACGAGGGGCCCACGAGGGUGGAGGGCGUGCCCCCUACCUCGUGGCCUCCUUGAAGCUUCCCUUCCAUGCACUUCAAGUCUUUUGGGCUUCUUUCCUUCCAAAAAAGAGUUCCGUGAAGUUUCAGGUCAACUGGACUCCGUUUGAUUUUCCUUUUCUUCGAAACCCUAAAACAAGGUAAAAAACAGAAAACUGGCACUGUUCUCUGGGUUAAUAGGUUAGUCCCAAAAAUGAUAUAAAAGUGUAUAAUAAAGCCCAUAAACAUCCAAAACAGAAGAUAAUAUAGCAUGGAGCAAUCAAAAAUUAUAGAUACGUUAGAGACGUAUCAGCAUCCCCAAGCUUAAUUCCUGCUCGUCCUCGAGUAGGUUAAUGAUAAAAACAGAUAUUUUUUUAUGCGGAGUGCUACUUGGCAUAAUUUCAAUGUAAUUCUUCUUAAUUGUGGCAUGAAUAUUCAGAUCCGAAAGACUCAAGACAAAAGUUCAUAUUGACAUAAAAAUAAUAAUACUUCAAGCAUACUAACUAAGCAAUUAUUUCUUCUCAAAAUAACAUGGCCAAAGAAAGUUCAUCCCUGCAAAAUCAUAUGAUUUAGUCAUGUUUCAUUUUUGUCACACAAGAAUGCUCUCAUCAUGCACAACCCCGAUGACAAGCCAAGCAAUUGUUUCAUACUUUAGUAAUCUCAAACCUAUAAAAUUUCAUGCAAUAUAUGAGCGCGAGCCAUGGACAUGGCACUAUAGGUGGAAUAGAAUAUAAUGAGGGGGGUAUGUCGAGAAGACAAAAAAGGAGAAUGUCUCACAUCAACGAGGCUAAUCAAUGAGCUAUGGAGAUGCCCACCGAUUGAUGUUAAUGCAAGGAGUAGGGAUUGCCAUGCAGCGGAUGCACUAGAGCUAUAAAUGUAUGAAAACUCAACAAAAGAAACUAAGUGGGUGUGCAUCCAACUUGCUUGCUCACGAAGACCUAGGGCACUUGAGGAGGCUGAUUGUUGGAAUAUACAAGCCAAGUUCUAUAAUGAAAAAUUCCCACUAGUAUAUGAAAAUGACAAAACAAGAGACUCUCUAUCAUGAAGAUUAUGGUGCUACUUUGAACCACAAGUGUGGCAAAGGAUAGUAGCAUUGUCCCUUCUCUCUUUUUCUCUCAAUUUUUUUGGGCCUUCUCUUUUUUAUGGCCUUUUUCUCCUUUUUUUUUCUUUUUUUCUUUUUUUGGGCCUUCUCCUUUUUUAUGGCCUUCCUCUCCUUUUUUUAAUUCCUCACUUGGGACAAUGCUCUAGAAAAUGAUGAUCAUCACACUUCUAUUUAUUUACAACUCAAUGAUUACAACUCGAUACUAGAAUAAAGAUGACUCUAUAUGAAUGCCUCCGGCGGUGUGCCGGGAUGUGCUAUGACUCAUGACUGACAUGUAUGAAAGAAUUAUGAACGGUGGCUUUGCCACAAAUACUAUGUCAACUACAUGAUCAUGCUAAGCAAUAUGACAAUGAUGAAUGUGUCAUGAUAAAUGGAAUGGUGGAAAGUAGCAUGGCAAUAUAUCUCGGAAUGGCUAUGGAAAUGCCAUAAUAGGUAGGUUAUGGUGGCUAUUUUGAGGAAGGUAUAAGGAGGUUUAUGUGUGAAAGAGCGUAUCAUAUCACGGGGUUUGGAUGCACCGGCGAAGUUUGCACCAACUCUCAAUGUGAGAAGGGGCAAUGCACUGUACCGAAGAGGCUAGCAAGGAUGGAAGGGUGAGAGUGCGUAUAAUCCAUGGACUCAACAUUAGCCAUAAAGAAAUCACAUACUUAUUGCAAAAAACUACAAGUCAUCAAAAACCUUGGCACUACGCGCAUGCUCCUAGGGGGAUAGAUUGGUAGGAAAAGACCAUCGCUCGUCCCCGACCGCCACUCAUAAGGAAGACAAUCAAAUAACACCUCAUGUUUCAAAUUUGUUACAUAACAUGUACCAUACGUGCAUGCUACGGGACACAAGUAUUUCUCAAUUUCACAACUACUCAACUAGCACGACUUUGAUAUCAUUACCUCCAUAUAUCAAAACAAUCAUCAAGCAUCAAACUUCUCUUAGUAUUCAAAACACUCAUAAGAAAAUUUUACUAAUCUUGAAUACCUAGCAUAUUAGGAUUUUAAGCAAAUUACCAUGCUAUUAAGACUCUCAAAAUAAUCUAAGUGAAGCAUGAGAGAUCAGUAGUUUCUAUAAAACAAAUCCACCACCGUGCUCUAAAAGAUAUAAGUGAAGCACUAGAGCAAAUGACAAACUACUCUGAAAGAUAUAAGUGAAGAUUAAUGAGUAGUCGAAUAAUUAUGCAACUAUGUGAAGACUCUCUAACAUUUAAGGAUUUAAGAUCUUGAUACUUUAUUAAAACAGCAAGCAAAGCAAAAUAAAAUGACAUUAUAAGAAUGACAAACAUCAUGUGAAGAAGCAAAAACUUAGGAUCAACCGAAACUAACCAAUAGUUGUUGAAGAAGAAAGGUGGGAUGCCAACCGGGGCAUACCCAAGCUUAGACGCUUGAGACUUCUUGAAAUAUUAUCUUGGGGUGCCGUGGGGAUCCCCAAGCUUGAGCUUUUGUGUCUCCUUAAUUCCUCUCAUAUCAUGGUCUCCCUAAACCUCAAAAGCUUCAUCCACACAAAACUCAACAAGGACUCAUGAGAUAAGUUAGUAUAAACCAUUGCAAAAACCUUAUCAUACUCUACUAGAGCAAAUCACUAAAAUUAUUAUUCAACAUUGCAUACUAAAUUCCUCUUCAUAUUUAAUAGUCCUAUCCUCAAAUAGAAUCAUUAAAGAAGAAAACAUAUGCAAACAAUGCAAACAUAACAGCAAUCUGCCUAAACAGGAUAGUCUGUAAAGAGUGCAGCAAGAUCCAUACUUCCCUAACUCAAAAUAUUAUGAAAGAAAAUUCCCACUGUAGUAAAUUUAUAAGAGAUUAAUAUGGAAAAUAUCUCAAUAUUUUAUCACAUUCUGACUUUUCUAGGGAAUUAUUGCAACAGCGGUAAACUUUUUGUUUUCAAACAACAACAUGAAGACUUGUAAAAUAGGCACAGUAAAGGCUAUCAAUGCCACUUUUAUUGAAAUAAAAGACGCAAAACAUUGUUCUAAAUAACAUCAAGCAAAUCCUAACAAAAUAAAUUGAUGCUCCAAGCAAAACACAUAUCAUGUGGUGAAUAAAAAUAUAGCUCCAAGUAAAGUUACCGAUGAACGAAGACGAAAGAGGGGAUGCCUUCCGGGGCAUCCCCAAGCUUAGGCUCUUGGUUGUCCUUGAAUAUUCCCUUGGUUUGCCUUAGGCAUCCCCAAUCUUAGGCUCUUGCCACGCCUUAUUCCAUAGUCCAUUGAAUCCUUACCCAAAACUUGAAAACUUCACAACACAAAACUUAACAGAAAACUCGUAAGCUCCGUUAGUAUAAGAAAAUAAAUCACCACUUCAAGGUACUGUAAUGAACUCAUUCUUUAUUUAUAUUGGUGUAAUAUCUACUGUAUUCAAACUUAUCUAUGGUUCAUACCCUCCGAUACUACUCAUAGAUUCAUCAAAAUAAGCAAACAACAUAUAGAAAAUAGAAUCUGUCAAAAACAGAACAGUCUGUAGUAAUCUGGAUCAAACGUAUAUUUAUGGAACCCCAAAAAUUCUAAAAUAAAUUUCUGGACCUGAGGAAUUUGUCUAUUAAUCAUAUUCAAAAGGAAUUAACUAAAUAGCACUCUCCAAUAAAAAUGGCAGCAAUUCUCGUGAGCGCUAAAGUUUCUGUUUUUUACAGCAUGAUCAACAAGACUUUCCCCAAGUCUUCCAACGGUUCUACUUGGCACAAACACUAAUUAAAACAUAAAACCACAUCUAAACAGAGGCUAGAUGAAUUAUUUAUUACUAAACAGGAGCAAAAAGCAAGGAACAAAAAUGAAGUUGGGUUGCCUCCCAGCAAGCGCUAUCGUUUAACGCCCCUAGCUAGGCAUGAUGAUUUCAAUGAUGCUCACAUAAAGGAUAAGAAUUGAAACAUAAAGAGAGCAUCAUGAAAAAUAUUGCUAAUACAUUUAAGUCUAACCCACUUCCCGUGCAUAGGGAUUUUGUGAGGAAACAACUUGUGAGAACAAGAAUCAACUUGCAUAGGAAGGUAAAACAAGCAUAACUUCAAAACUUCAAGCACAUAGAGAGGAAACUUGAUAUUAUUGCAAUUACUAUAAGCAUAUAUUCCUCCCUCGGAAUAAUUUUCAGUAGCAUCAUGAAUGAAUUCAACAAUAUAACCAGCACCUAAAGCAUUCUUUUCAUGAUCUACAAGCAUAGAAAAUUUACUACUCUCCACACAAGCAAAAUUCUUCUCAUGAAUAAUAGUGGGAGCAAACUCAACAAAAUAACUAUCAUGUGAUUGAAAAUUAAAAUCAAGAUGACAAGUUUCAUGGUUAUCAUUAUUCUUUAAAGCAUACGUGUCAUCACAACAAUCAUCAUAGAUAGGAGGCAUGCUUCCAUCAUAAUAAAUUUGCUCAUCAAAACUUGGGGGACAAAAAAUAUCAUCUUCAUCAAACAUAGUUUCCCCAAGCUUGUGGCUUUGCAUAUCAUUAGCAUCAUGGAUAUUCAAGGAAUUCAUACUAACAACAUUGCAAUCAUGCUCAUCAUUCAAAUAUUUAGUGCCAAACAUUUUAUAGAUUUCUUCUUCUAGAACUUGAGCAUAAUUGGCGGAACCCGCAAGUUGGUCACUAAAACAUGCAUCAAGUGAAUCACGUGAUAUCCCAUUGUCACCACAGACAUGCACGGCAAGACAUACAUCAAGUGUUCUCAAAUCUUUAAAGACUCAAUCUGAUAAGAUAACUUCAAAGAGGAAACUCAAUCCAUUACAAGAGAGAGGGGGAGGAGAAACAUCAUAGGAUCCAAAUACAAUAGAAAAGCUCGCGAUACAUCAAGAUCGUAUCACCUCAAGAACACGAGAGAGAGAGAGAGAGAGAGAGAGAGAGAGAGAGAGAGAGAGAGAUCAAACAUAUGCAAACAAUGCAAACACAACAUCAAUCUGCCUAAACAGGACAGUCAGUAAAGAGUGCAGCAAGAUCCAUACUUCCCUAGCUCCAAAAAUUAUGAAAGAAAAUUCCCACUGUAGUAAAUUUAUCAGAGAUUAAUAUGCAAAAGGUUUCAACAUUUUAUCACAUUCUGACGUUUCUAGGGAAUUAUUGCAACAGCGGUAAACUUUCUGUUUUCAAACAGCAACAUGUGGACUUCUAAAAUAGGCAUAGUAAAGGCUAUCAAUGCCACUUUUAUUGAAAUAAAAGAUGCAAAACAUUGUUCUAAAUAACAGCAGACAAAUCCUAACAAAAUAAAUUGACGCUCCAAGCAAAACACAUAUCAUGUGGCAAAUAAAAAUAUAGCUCCAAGUAAAAGUUACCGAUGAACGAAGACGAAAGAGGGGAUGCCUUCCGGGGCAUCCCCAAGCUUAGGCUCUUGGCUAUCCUUGAAUAUUACCUUGGGGUGCCUUGGUCAUCCCAAUCUUAGGCUCUUGCCACUCCUUAUUCCACAGUCCAUCGAAUCCUUACCCAAAACUUGAAAACUUCACAACACAAAACUUAACAGAAAACUCGUAAGUUCCGUUAGUAUAAGAAAAUAAAUCACCACUUCAAGGCACUGUAAUGAACUCAUUCUUUAUUUAUAUUGGUGUUAAACCUACUGUAUUCCAACUUAUCUAUGGUUUAUAAACUAUUUUACUAGCCAUAGAUUCAUCAAAAUAAGUAAACAACACAUGAAAAACAGAAUCUGUCAAGAAACAGAACAGUCUGUAGUAAUCUGGAUCAAACGUAUACUUCUGUAACUCAUAAAAUUCUCAAAUAAAUUUCUGGACCUGUGUAAUUUGUCUAUUAAUCAUCUUCAAAAAUAAUUAACUCAAUAUCACUUUCAAAAUAAAAAUGGCAGCAGUUCUCGUGAGCGCUAAAGUUUCUGUUUUUUACAGCAUGAUCAACAAGACUUUCCCCAAGUCUUCCCAAAGGUUCUACUUGGCACAAACACUAAUUAAAAGCAUAAUACCACAUCUAAACAUAGGCUAGAUGAAUUAUUUAUUACUAAACAGGAACAAAAAACAUGGAAUAAAAAUAAAGUUGGGUUGCCUCCCAACAAGCGCUAUCGUUUAACGCCCCUAGCUAGGCAUGAUGAUUUCAAUGAUGCUCACAUAAAGGAUAAGAAUUGUAACAUAAAGAGAGCAUCACGAAGAAUAUGACUAGCACAUUUAAGUAUAACCCACUUCCUAUGCAUAGGGAUUUUGUGAGCAAACAACUUAUGGGAACAAGAAUCAACUUGCAUAGGAAAGGAAAACAUGCAUAACUUCAAAACUUCAAGCACAUAGAGAGGAAACUUGAUAUUAUUGCAAUUCCUACAAGCAUAUAUUACUCCCUCAUAAUAAUUUUCAGUAGAAUCAUGAAUGAAUUCAACAAUAUAACCAGCACCUAAAGCAUUCUUCUCAUGAUCUACAAGCAUAGAAAAUUUACUACUCUCCACAUAAGCAAAUUUCUUCUCAUCAAUAGUAGUGGGAGCAAACUCAACGAAAUAACUAUCAUGCGAUUGAAAAUUGAAAUCAAGAUGACAAGUUUCAUUGUUAUCAUUAUUGUUUAAAGCAUACAUGUCAUCACAAUAAUCAUCAUAGAUAGGAGGCAUGCUUUUAUCAUAAUAAAUUUGCUCAUCAAAACUUGGGGGACAAAAUAUAUCAUCUUCAUCAAACAUAGCUUCCCCAAGCUUGUGGCUUUGCAUAUAAUUAGCAUCAUGGAUAUUCAAGGAAUUCAUACUAACAACAUUGCAAUCAUGCUCAUCAUUCAAAGAUUUAGUGCCAAACAUUCUAAUGCAUUCUUCUUCUAGCACUUGAGCACAAUUAUCGGAAUCCUUAUUUUCUUGAUAGAUGUUAAAAAGAUGAAACAAAUGAGGUAACCUUAAUUCCAUUUUUUUUGUAAUUUUAUUUUAUAAACUAAACUAGUGAUAAAACAAGAAACUAAAAGACUCGAUUGCAAGAUCUAAAGAUAAACCUUCAAGCACUCACCUCCCCGGCAAUGACGCCAGAAAAGAGCUUGAUGUCUACUACACAACCUUCUUCUUGUAGACGUUGUUGGGCCUCCAAGUGUAGAGGUUUGUAGGACAGUAGCAAAUUUCCCUCAAGUUGAUGACCUAAAGUUUAUCAAUCCGUAGGAGGCGUAGGAUGAAGAUGGUCUCUCUCAAGCAACCCUGCAACCAAAUAACAAAGAGUCUCUUGUGUCCCCAACACACCCAAUACAAUGGUAAAUUGUAUAGGUGCACUAGUUCGGGGAAGAGAUGGUGAUACAAGUGGUAUAUGGAUGGUAGAUAAUAGUUUUUGUAAUCUGAAAAUAUAAAAACAGCAAGGUAACUAAUGGUAAAAGUGAGCGUAAAUGGUAUUGCAAUGCGUUGAAACAAGGCCUAGGGUUCAUACUUUCGCUAGUGCAAGUUCCCUCAACAAUAAUACAUAAUUGGAUCAUAUAACUAUCCCUCAACAUGCAACAAAGAGUCACUCCAAAGUCAUUAAUAGCGGAGAACGAACGAAGAGAUUAUGGUAGGGUACGAAACCACCUCAAAGUUAUUCCUUCCAAUCAAUCCGUUGGGCUAUUCCUAUAAGUGUCACAAACAGCCCUAGAGUUCGUACUAGAAUAACAUCUUAAGACACAAAUCAACCAAAACCCUAAUGUCACCUAGAUACUCCAAUGUCACCUCAAGUAUCCGUGGGCAUGAUUAUACAAUAUGCAUCACACAAUCUCAAAUUCAUCUAUUCAACCAACACAUAGAACCUCAAAGAGUGCCCCAAAGUUCCUACCAGAGAAUCACGACGAAAACGUGUGCCAACCCCUAUGGAUAGGUUCAUGGGCAGAACCCACAAGUUGAUCACCAAAACAUACAUCAAGUGAAUCACGUGGUAUGCCAUUGUCACCACAGAUACGCACGACCAGACAUACAUCAAAUGUUCUCAAAUCUUUAAAGACUCAAUCCGAUAAGAUAACUUCGAAGGGGAAACUUAAUCCAUUACAAGAGAGUAGAGGGGGGAGAAAACAUCAUAAGAUCCAACUAUAAUAGCAAAUCUCGUGAUACAUCAAGAUUGUACCACCUCAAGAACACGAGAGAGAGAGAUCAAACACAUAGCUAAUGGUACAUACCCUCAGCCCCGAGGGAGAACUACUCCCUCCUCAUCACGGAGAGCACCGGGAUGAUGAAGGUGGCCACCGGAGAGGGAUUUCCCCCUCCAGCAGGGUGCCGGAACGGGUCUAGAUUGGCUUUCGGUGGCUACGGAGGCUUCUGGCGGUGAACUCCCGAUCUAUUGUGCUCCCUGAUGUUUUUACGGUAUAUGGAGAUAUAUAGGCGGAAGAAGUACGUCAGGGGGGCCACGAGGGGCCCACGAGGGUGGAGGGCACGCCCUAGGGGGGUGGGCACGCCCCUACCUCGUGGCCUCCUUGAAGCUUCCCUUACGUGCACUUCCAGUCUUUUGGGCUUCUUUCCUUCCAAAAAUGAGUUCCGUGAAGUUUCAGGUCAAUUGGACUUCGUUCGAUUUUCCUUUUCUUCGAAACCCUAAAACAAGGUAAAAAACAGAAACUGGCUCUGGGCUCUGGGUUAAUAGGUUAGUCCCAAAAAUGAUAUAAAAGUGUAUAAUAAAGCCCAUAAACAUCCAAAACAAUAGAUAAUAUAGCAUGGAGCAAUCAAAAAUUAUAGAUACGUUUGAGACGUAUCAGGAACCUCUCCCCAUCCAGGGGGGAUGCCAUGGAGGAGGAAGCACAAGGGGGAGAACCUCUCCUCCUCUCUCUUGGUGGCACCGGAGUGCCAUCGAGAGGGGAAUCAUCGCCGCGGUGAUCGUCUUCAUCAACAUCACCAUCAUCAUCACCAUCCCCAUCUCUUUUACGCGGUCCACUCUCCCGCACCCCGUUAUAAUCCCUACUUGAACAUGGUGCUUUAUGUCACAUAUUAUGAUCCAAUGAUGUGUUGCCAUCCUAUGAUGUUUUGAGUAGAUAUCCUUUGUCUUUGGGUUGAUUGAUGAUCUAGAUUGGUAUGAGUUGUAUGUUUUACUUUGGUGUUGUCCUAUGGUGCCCUCCGUGUCGCGCAAGCGUGAGGGAUUCCCGCUGUAGGGUGUUGCGAUACGUUUAUGAUUCACUUAUAGUGGGUUGUGAGUGACUGAAACACAAACCCGAGUAAGGGGGUUGUUGUGUAUGGGAUAAAGAGGACUUCAUGCUUUAAUGCUAUGAUUGGGUUUUACCUUAAUGAUCUUUAGUAGUUGCAGAUUUUUGCUAGAGUUCCAAUCAUAAGUCCAUAUGAUACAAGUAGAGAAAGUAUGUUAGCUUAUACCUCUCCCUCAUAUGAAACUGCAAUAGUGAUUACCGGUCUUGUUAACGAUUGCCUAGGACAAUUCUGCACACCGAUCCACCAUUAUUCCACACUCGCUAUUUAUAAUAUUUAUUAAUAUAUUCUAACUUCAUGAUAACAGCACCUACUUUUAUAUUUUAGCUCUCCGAUAUCAAACAAAGUUAUCCUCUUCAUACCCACAACAUAGUUUUAUUUCUCGUUGCUAGCUGGAAGCAAACGUUCGGUGUACGUAGAGUCGUAUCAGUGGCAGAUAGGGCUUGAGAGAAUAUUGCUCUUACCUUUAGCUCCUUGUGGGUUCGACACUCCAUACUUACCACUUCCACCUUUGGAAAUUGCUAUGAUGAAUCCUUGCACCUGGGGAUUAUCAAGCUCUUUUCUGGUGCCGUUGCCGGGGAGCAAUAGCGUAGGGUUGAUAUUCUCGUGUAUGCUUGUUUGCUUUCUUCACUAAGUAGAUUUUGUUUUUUCUUUUUUGUUUCUGUUUAGUUGUGGGUGAAACAUAAAAAAAAUUAAGAGAAUGAAAAUACCAAAAAAAUUACUUGCCUAUCAUGCCUAAAAAGUUUUUCAAAAAGAGAAGUGAUUGGAAAGUUAUGCAUUGAAGAAGUGAGGGUCGACCUUGAGCACUUGUGUUCAUGCUCACGGAAACAAUUUAAAAAAUUUCAUGGAAGUUUCUAUGUAAAUAAUUAUCCCCUUAUAUAUAUAUAUCCAUUGUAUUAUAAAAAUAAUGUGCCGAGCCUUGGUUUUAGGAUGAUUAGAUGGCUUGUUUACUAUGUGCAGAACAAAAAAAGAAACUUUGGCUGUAGCGCGUGAUUUUACAUUUUUUUACUGGAAAGUCAAAUGGGCCUAAAACUUUUUGCACUUUACUUCUGUAAAAAAAAUUCAAAUUGUCAAAUUUAUUUUAUAAUUUUUGGAGUUACAGAAGUUUACUAAACCUUCAGAUUACUACAGAUUGUCCUGUUUUAGACAGAUUCUAUUUUUCGUGUGUUGUUUGCUUAUUUUGAUGAAUCUAUGGGUAGUAUCGGGGGGUAUGAACCAUGGUGAAGUUGGAAUACAGUAUAUAUAGUUCUAAUAUGAAAUUGGAAUGAGUUUUCAACAGUACCUAAAGGUACUGAUUUGCUUUAUUAUACUAAUGGAUCUCACAAAGUUUUUGUUAAAGUUUUUUGUGGAUGAAGUGUUCGAAGAACGAGCAGUUACCGAUGUGAGAAGAAUAAAGAGAGGCAAGAGCUCAAGCUUGGGAAUGCCCAAGGCACCCCAAGUAAAUAUUCUAAGGAUACUCAAGCAUCUAAGCUUGGGGAUGCCCCGGUUGGCAUCCCAUCUUUCUUCUUCAACAAUUAUCGGUAUACCUUGGUUUUUGUUUCAUUCACAUGAUUUGUGUACUUUGUUAUUUUGUUCUUCCUUUAUGAACCAUGCUAGUAUGAGAUAGCCCUUCAUUGAUUUAUAUAAUGCUUCAUGUGCUUCACUUAUAUAUUUUAAGUAUGAUCUUAUAGAAUUGCUCUUUGUGCUUCACUUAAAUCUUUUGAGUAUGGUUUUAUAGAAUGCUUCGUGUGCUUCACUUAUACAUUUUGAGCUUGGACAUUGGUUAGUUUAUAUUAAUUGUGGAAUGCUCCGUGAACUUCACUUAUAUCUUUUGGAGUAUGAAUAAUACUAUCAUCUAAAGCGGGUUUGGAAGAGUGUCAACUCUAGGAACUAGUGAUCCCGCUAUUCCGAAUGAGAAGAAUUUUGCUUAUGUGGAGAGUAGAAAAUUUUCUAUGCUUGUAGAUCAUGAAAAGAAUGCUUUAUGUGAUGGUUAUGUUGUUGAAUUCAUUCAUGAUUCUACUGAAAAUUAUUAUGAGUGAGGAAUAUAUUCUUGUAGGAGUUGCGAUAAUAUCAAGUUUCCUCUCUAUGUGCUUAAAGUUUUGAAGUUGUCCUUGUUUUUCCUUCCUAUGCUAGUUGAUUCUUGUUCCCAUAAGUUGUGUACUCACAAAAUCCCUAGGCAUAGGAAGUGGGUUAGGUUUAAAUUUGCUAGUCAUAUUCUUCAUGAUGCUCUCUUUAUGUUUCAAUUCUUAUCUUUUAUGUGAGCAUCAUUGAAAUCAUCAUGCCUAGCUAAAAGACAUUAAAGAAAAGCGCUUGUUGGGAGACAACCCAAUAUUUACCCUUAAUGUUUUUGUGUGUUAUCAUGAUUAAGAUACUUUAUUAAUAAUGUAUUAUAGCUUUUGUUUCAAUAACGUGCCAAGUAAGACCUUUGGGAAGACUUGGGUGAAAGUUAAUGUGAUCUUGCUGUAAAAAACAGAAACUUUGCGCUCACGAGAUCUGCUGCCAUUUUUUAUUGGAGAGUGAUAUUAGGUUGAUUCUUUUUGCAUAAGAUUAAUAGACAAAUUCCUCACGUCCACCAAUUUAUUUCAUAAUUGUUUGAGUAGCAUAAGUAUGGUUAGUGUUCAGAUCAUUACAGACUGUUCUGUUUCUGACAGAUUCUGUUUUCAUUGCAUAGUUUGCUUGUUUUCUAGUUUCUAUGACUUAUAUUUCUCAAUAUAAAUUGUAGAAAUUAUAUGGUACAGUAGGCAUUGUGUGAGAACAAUUAUGAACCUUGUCUUUGACAGUACCAAAGUGAAUGGUUUACUCUUUAUCAUACUAACCUAUCUCACGAAGUUCCGUUAAGUUUUGUGUGAUUGAAGUUUUCAAGCUUUGGGUGAGAUAUCGAUAUGAGGAGAAUAAGGAGUGGAAAGACCCUAAGCUUGGGGAUGCCCGAGGCACCCCAAGGUAAUAUUCAAGGAAGACUCAAGCGCCUAAGCUUGGGGAUGCCCCAGAAGGCAUCCCCUCUUUCGUCUUCAAAACUAUCGGUAUACCUUACUCGGAGCUAUAUUUUUAUUCGUCACAAGAUAUGUGUUUUGCUUGGAGCGUAUUUUCAAUUUUAAUUUCUGUUUGAAUAAAAUCAUUGGAUCUGAAUUAUUAAAUGAAAAAGAAUCCUCCGAUGGCUAGUUAAUUAUUUGACUACUCAGUGUCCUUCACUAUUAUCUUUUGGAGUAGUUUGUCAUUUACUCACGUGCUUCAUGUAUAUCCUAUGAGUAAAUGGUUGAAUAAUUGAAUAUCAUAAAUCUGAAUUUAUAUAUGUUUCAUAUGCUUAUACCAUGGGGAGUAAUGACUUCACAUAGAAUAAUUAUAGGUAGUAAACUUAUUGAAAGUUAGCAAACCUAGAAUUGGUCACUUGAACAAUUCAUGAAAGAUUAUUGAAGGAAGAGAGAUUUCACAUAUAAAUAUACUAUCUUGAACAUCUUUCGUAAUUGUGAGCACUCAUAAAAUAUGACAUGCUAAAAGGUUGAUGUCGAACAAGGAAGACAACGUAAUGGGUUAUGUUUUCUUAUAUCCGAAAUAAAGUAUAUUGUCUUGGAUCAUCCAACAUGUUGAGCUUGCUUUUCCCCCUCAUGCUAGCCAAAUUCUUUGCACCAAGUAGAGAUACUACUUGUGCUUCCAAACAUUCCUUAAACCAGUUUUGCCAUGAGAGUCCACUAUACCUACCUAUGGAUUGAGUAAGAUCCUUCAAGUAAGUUGUCAUCGGUGCAUGCAAUAAAAACUGCCCUCUAAAUAUGUAUGAUCUAUUAAUGUGGGGAAACUAAGCUUUAUACGAUCUUGUGAUGUGGAAGAAAUAAAAGUGAUGGACUGCAUAAUAAAGGUCCAUAUCACAAGUGGCAAUAUAAAGUGACGUUCUUUUGCAUUAAGAUUUUGUGCAUCCAACCAUAAAAGCGCAUGACAACCUCUGCUUCCCUCUGCGAAGGGCCUAUCUUUUACUUUUAUCUUCUACCUUAUGCAAGAGUCAUGGUGAUCUUCACCUUUCCUUUUUUACAUUUUAUCCCUUAGCAAGCACAUUGUGUUGGAAAGAUCCUGAUAUAUAUAUAUAUAUAUAUAUAUAUAUAUAUAUAUAUAUAUAUUUCCAAUUGGAUGUAAGUUAUCAUGAACUAUUAUUGUUGACAUUACCCUUGAGGUAAAAGUUGGGAGGCGAAUCUAUAAGCCCCUAUCUUUCUCUGUGUCCGAUUAAAACUUUGAACCCAUAAAUAUCAUGUGAGUGUUAGGAAUUGUGAAAGACUAAAUGAUAGUUGAGUAUGUGGAGUUUCCUAAAUCAAAGCUCUGACAUAGACCCUUCCUAAAAAUAAGAUGAAUUGCAAUUGUUUGAUGACUGAGAAUAUAGUUUGUUAGUUUCAAGAGAGUUUAUGAUCUAUACUUUAACAUGUGAAUAGCUUGUUCCUUGAUCAUGAAAAGUUUUAUGAAAAUGAGCUACUGUUAUGAUAUAUAAUGAUGCUAGAAAAAGCGAUUGGAACUAUCAUUGAUGAAACUUAUGCACUUGCUAGCAUUCACACUUCAUAAAUUAUUUCUUUUAUCAUUUACCUACUCGAGGACGAGCAGGAAUUAAGUUUGGGGAUGCUAAUACGUCUCCAAUGUAUCUAUAAUUUAUGAAGUAUUCAUGCUAUUAUAUUAUCAACCUUGGAUGUUUUAUAUGCUAUUUUAUAUGGUUUUUGGGACUAACCUAUUUACCUAGAGCCCAGUGCUAGUUUCUGUUUUUUUCCUUGUUUUUGAGUUUUACAGAAAAGGAGUAUCAAACGGAGUCCAAUUGAUGUGCCAAUUCUUGAUGCUUUUUUAUGGACCAAAAGAAGACCCCGGAGUAAAAGAGUUGGGCCAGGAGAGUCCCGGGGCAUCCACGAGGGUGGGGGGCGCGCCCACCCCCCCAGGCGCGUGGGCCUGCCUCGUGGACGCCUUGGGCACCUCCUUGACGUGAGACCGACGCUAAAAAUUCCUAUAAAUACAGAAACCUUGGAAAAUUAAACUAGAUCGGGAGUUCCACCGCCAGAAGCCUCCGUAGCCACCAAAAACCAAUCUAGGCCCUCUCUGGCACCCUGCCGAAGGGGGCCAUCAUCAUCGGAGGGNNNNNNNNNNCCCAGUGCUAGUUUCUGUUUUUUUCCUUGUUUUUGAGUUUUACAGAAAAGGAGUAUCAAACGGAGUCCAAUUGAUGUGCCAAUUCUUGAUGCUUUUUUAUGGACCAAAAGAAGACCCCGGAGUAAAAGAGUUGGGCCAGGAGAGUCCCGGGGCAUCCACGAGGGUGGGGGGCGCGCCCACCCCCCCAGGCGUGUGGGCCUGCCUCGUGGACGCCUUGGGCACCUCCUUGACGUGAGACCGACGCUAAAAAUUCCUAUAAAUACAGAAACCUUGGAAAAUUAAACUAGAUCGGGAGUUCCACCGCCAGAAGCCUCCGUAGCCACCAAAAACCAAUCUAGGCCCUCUCUGGCACCCUGCCGAAGGGGGCCAUCAUCAUCGGAGGGCAUGAAGGAGGAUCCCGGAGGGGCCAUCAUCACCAUGAAGGCCAAGGAACAGAGGGGGAACCUCUCCCCAUCUAGGGGGGAGGCCAUGGAGGAGGAAGCACACGGGGGAGAACAUCUCCUCCUCUCUCUUGGUGGCACCGGAGUGCCAUUGAGAGGGGAAUUAUCGCCGCGGUGAUCGUCUUCAUCAACAUCACCAUCAUCAUCACCAUCCUCAUUUCUUUUACGCGGUCCACUCUCCCGCACCCUGCUGUAAUCCCUACUUGAACAUGGUUCUUUAUGCCACAUAUUAUGAUCCAAUGAUGUGUUGCCAUCCUAUGAUGUUUUGAGUAGAUAUCCUUUGUCUUUGGGUUGAUUGAUGAUCUAGAUUGGUAUGAGUUGUAUGUUUUACUUUGGUGCUGUCCUAUGGUGCCCUCCGUGUCGCGCAAGCGUGAGGGAUUCCCGCUGUAGGGUGUUGCGAUACGUUUAUGAUUCGCUUAUAGUGGGUUGUGUGAGUGACUAAAACACAAACCCGAGUAAGGGGGUUGUUGCGUAUGGGAUAAAGAGGACUUGAUGCUUUAAUGCUAUGGUUGGGUUUUACCUUAAUGAUCUUUAGUAGUCGCGGAUGCUUGCUAGAGUUCCAAUCAUAAGUGCAUAUGAUCCAAGUAGAGAAGUAUGUUACCUUAUGCCUCUCCCUCAUAUGAAACUGCAAUAGUGAUUACUGGUCUUGUUAACGAUUGCCUAGGACAAUUCCACACACCGAUCCACCAUUAUUCCACACUCUCUAUUUAUAAUAUAUAGUAAUAUUAUAAACUUCAUGAUAACAGCACCUACUUUUAUAUUUUAGCUCUCCGAUAUCAUACAAAGUUAUCCUCUUCAUACACACAACAUAGUUUUAUUUCUCAUUGCUAGUUGGAAGCAAACCUUCGGUGUAUGUAGAGUCAUAUCAGUGGCUGAUAGGGCUUGAGAGAAUAUUGAUCUUACCUUUAGCUCCUUGUGGGUUCGACACUCCAUACUUAUCCCUUCCAGCUUUGCAAAUUGCUAUGAUGAUUCCUUGCACUUGGGGAUUAUCACCUAUAUAUACUCUUAUACCCUAAAAACAACCAGGAGAGCCACGAAACCACCUUUCCACCACCGCAACCUUCUGUACCCAUGCGAUCCCAUCUGGGGACCUUUUCCGGCGAUCUGCCGGAGGGGGAAUCGAUCAUGGAGGGCUUCUACAUUAACAUCGUAUCCUCUCCGAUGAUGUGUGAGUGGUCGAGCACAGACCUUUGGGUCCAUAGUUAUUGGCUAGAUGGCUUCUUCUCUCUCUUUGGUUCUCAAUACAAAGUUCUCCUCGAUGUUCUUGGAGAUAUAUUCGAUGUAAUAUUCUUUUGCGGUGGGUUUGCCUAGAUAAGAUGAAUUGUGGAUUUAUGAUCAAGUUUAUCUAUGAACAAUAUUUGGUUCUUCUAUGAAUUCUUAUAUGCAUGAUUUGAUAUCUUUGCAAGUCUCUUCGAAUUAUCGGUUUAGUUUGGCCUACUAGAUUGAUCUUUCUUGCAAUGGGAGAAGUGCUUAGCUUUGGGUUCAAUCUUGCAGUGUCCUUUCCCAGUGACAGUAGGGGCAUCAAGGCACGUAUUGUAUUGUUGCCAUCGAGGAUAAAAAUAUGGGGUUUAUAUCAUAUUGCUUGAGUUUAUCCCUCUACAUCAUGUCAUCUUGCCUAAAGCAUUACUCUGUUCUUAUGAACUUAAUACUCUAGAUGCAUGUUGGAUAGCGGUCGAUGUGUGGAGUAAUAGUAGUAGAUGCAGAAUCGUUUCGGUCUACUUAACACGGACGUGAUGCCUAUGUUCAUGACCAUGCCUAGAUAUUCUCAUAACUAUGCGCUUUUCUAUCAAUUGCUCGGCAGUAAUUUGUUCACCCACCGUAAUACAUGCUAUCAUGAGAGAAGCCACUAGUGAAACCUAUGGCCCUCGGGUCUAUUUUAUAUCAUAUAAGCUUCUAAUCUAAAAUUCUAGUUUACUAUUUAUUUUAUUUUGCAAUCUUUACUUUUCAAUCUAUACAACAAAAAUACCAAAAAUAUUUAUCUUAUUAUUAUUAUCAGAUCUCACUUUUGCAAGUGGUCGUGAAGGGAUUGACAACCCCUUUAUCGCAUUGGUUGCAAGGUUCUUGAUUGUUUGUGCAGGUAUUAGGUGACUUGCAUGUUAUCUCCUACUGGAUUGAUACCUUGGUUCUCAAAAAACUGAGGGAAAUACUUACGCUACUUUGCUGCAUCACCCUUUCCUCUUCAAGGGAAAACCAACACAUGCUCAAGAGGUAGCAGUGCUAUGAUUGCUGCUCUGCUCCCCAAAAGGAUUAAUGCCAUCUACACUUAGACGAAACCAUAAGUUCCUUGCGUCAUCUACAAAGUCCUCCCACUUUCUCUCGAUUUUUCUCCACUGCGACCGUCAGCGGGUACUCUCAACUUUCCAUCUUUCUUACGGUCUUCUUUGUCCCAUCGCAUCAACUUGACAUGCUCUUUGUUUUGGAACAAACGUUUCAACCGUGGUAUUAUAGGAGCAUACCACAUCACCUUGGCAGGAAUCUUCUUCCUGGGGUGCUCACCCUCAACAUCACCAGGGUCAUCGCGGCUGAUCUUAUAGCGCAUUGCACCGCAUACCAGUCAUGCAUUCAAAUCAUUAUACUCACCGCGGUAGAGGAUGCAGUCAUUAGGGCAUGCAUGUAUCUUCUGCACCUCUAAUCCUACAGGGCACACAUCCUUCUUUGCUUUGUACAUACUGUCGGGCAAUUCGUUGUCCUUUGGAAGCAUCUUCUUUAACAUUAUCUGUAACUUUUCAAAUCCCUUGUCAGAUACACCAUUCUCUGCCUUCCAUUGCAGCAAUUCCAGGGUGGUGCCUAGCUUUUUCUUGUCAGCUUCGCAAUUUGGGUACAACAAUUUCUUGUGAUCCUCUAACAUGCGUCGCAAUUUCAGCCUCUCCUUUUCACUUGCGCAGUUUCUCUUUGCAUCGGCAAUGGCCCGACCAAGAUCAUCAGCGGGCUCAUCCGAUGCCUCUUCUUCAGCUUCUUCCCGCAUUGCCGGUUCAGCUUCUUCCCCCAUUGUUGUACCAUAGUAUUCAGGGAACCCAUGUCUAGGAUAGCCUUUGUCAUCCUCUUCUUCUUUAUUCUCUUCCAUUAGGACCCCUCUUUCUCCGUGCUUGGUACAGCAGUUAUAGCCGGACAUGAAACCGGACUCAAACAGGUGGAUGUGAAUGGUUGUCGAGUUAGAGUAAUUUCAAUCAUUCUUACAGUCAGCACAUGGACAACACAUAAAACCAUCCGGUCGCUUGUUUGCCUCAGUCGUAAUCAGAAAAGUAUGCACGCCAUUAAUGAACUGGGGAGAGCAUCGGUCAUCGUACACCCAUUGCCGGCUCAUCUUCAUUACACAACACCGAAAAGACCAAAUUAAUACAAGUUCAUACAUAAAGUUCAUACACACUUAUUCUCAUAAAACAACAUACAAACUCUCUAGCCAAAGCAUUUAAAUGCAACAACAAAUGCGAUCAAGAUUGCAACUAAGGUAACAAUUGAUCCAACAACAUAAUGAUACCAAGCCUCACUAUCAAUGGUAGAUUUUCUAAUCUUUCUAAUCUUCGAGCGCAUUGCAUCCAUCUUGAUUUUGUGAUCAUCGACGACAUCGGCAACAUGCAACUCCAAUUCCAUCUUCUCCUACUCAAUUUUUUUCAAAAAAAAUUUCAAGUAAUUGUUUUCUUUUUCAACUAAAUUUAACCUCUCGAGAAGAGGUCGGUUGGAAUUUCCGGUUGACAUACCUCCUAGAUAAAAAUAUCUAUGUCAACUUGAUGGGCAUAAUUUAUCAUAAACUUGAAAUGCAACAAAUACUAAUAAACAGAAUAUACCACAUUCGAAUCAUAAACCGGACGAGGGCCGACGGGGACGGAUAUCAAAACCAUGCCACUAUGUAUAACAAACAACAUACCGGUAAGAAAAUUAUACAAGUAACUAUCUAAAUCACACAAACAUGAAUUUUCUAUAAGAAGGAUAAGAACAAGAGGCUCAUUAAGGUGGUGCCGACGACGAGGCGAUGCGGGCAAUCGACGGUGGUUAGAAUGGGGACGGGAAGGCACUAAGUAAACCACACCUACACAUGCAAACUAAGAAGUUAAUUUGAGCUCAAAUUGCAUAUAAAUCAAAUAAACUACCACAUAUAAAUACUCCCAAACUAAAACCCACAAAUCACUAUACCUAUAGAGCAUUGCAAGAGCUAAUCUAGCAAUGAGAGAUGAAAUGACAAAGUUGCUAACCUUUGUGAACACUUGGAUGGAUGGGGUCCUUCAAACCUUGACAAUUUUUCGCAAAAAUGUUGGAUGAGCUCGAGCAAGAGCGGAAGAACAAAGAGCUCGGGCUCGAUGAAGGGUUUAUAUAGGAGCAUCUUUACUCUCGGUUGGUUAUACAAACCGAGACUAAAGGUGCAUCUAUAGUCCCGGUUUGUGACACGAACCAGGACUAAAUGUGCCAGUGGGCCCCUAGCCUGACACAAGCCUGCCACCACACCUUUAGUCCCGGUUUGUGUCACGAACCGGUGCUAGAGGUUCAACACGAACCGAGACUAAUGAUUCCCGCCCCCCUAGUCAUUGGAACCGGCACUAAUGGUCACAUUAAUACCGGUCCAUUUACAAACCGGGACUAAUGUGGCUCACGUAAAGUAGUUUUUCUACUAGCGUGAGUUUGUUUUCAUGUCUCAAGUUGUGCAAAUCUUUUCUAGCCAUCGGAGUGGUUGCAUAAUUUCAUUUUGUAGGACAAAAUUGCGCAAGACAUGUACAAAGACAUGGAAGCUUCCAUUAAUAAGGCAUUUGAACUAGAGCAUUGUUGGGAACUCUCAAGGAAAGCGAGAAGUGGAAGUUGAUUGACAAACAAUCCCCGCCGAAGAGAGGUGCUCUCACCAAGAUUGAUGAUGAUGAAGAUGAAGAUGACGAUGGCCCAAGAAACAAGAACAAGCUCGAUGGAAACAAAAAGGCCAAGGACAAGAUCAGGAAGGAAGCGGGGGCCUAAAGCUUGCGGGACAACCUAGAUCACAUGGUCAAGUCCAAUGAACUAUUGGUGAUCAAGACAUUGGAGGCAAAAAAUGACUUGGCCGAGAAGAAGGCUCAAGAGAAGCAAGAGAAGUGGCAACUACUCAAGUAGGAGACCAUGUGCAAGACCGCCAUUGAGGAGAGAAGAGGCAUGGCCGACGAGAACAAAGCCAUGUCCAAGCUUCUUGCCGAGGAAAACAAGAUCAUGAUGAUGAAUCGAAAUGAGAUGAAUUAGGUCACCAAAGAAUGGCAUGGCAUUGCAAGGUUGGAGAUCUUGGAGAGGAGGAGGAUAGCCGCAAGAGGCCAUGCGGUGCCAAUGUUCGGUGGUGGUUCGGCAAGUGGUGUUGCCAAUGGUGGCGGUGAAGAUUUCAUCUUGUCAUGAUGGUGAUGGAGUGAUGAUGGCUGUGAUGUUUUUUGAGUUUUGGUGCGAAAACUAUGUUCAAAUAUCGCCAAAACUGUGUUUGAAUUCUUCGAAUUUGUGCUUUAUUUGUUAAUAUCAUGGUCAAUUGCAUGGUGUGGUUUUACGAUUUGAGGAGCAAAGAAUGUUCACUUUUACCACUCGACUUUGCGGGCUCUGUUCAGCCGCAGCCGAUUUCGGCCCUUAAAACGCGAUUUUCUCGUGUCUUAUCCCGGUUAUUGAAGGAAAUAUGCCCUAGACGCAAUAAUAAAGUUGUUAUUUAUAUUUCCUUGUAUCAUGAUAAAUGUUUAUUAUUCAUGCUAGAAUUGUAUUAACCGGAAACUUAGUACAUGUGUGAAUACAUAGACAAACAGAGUGUCCCUAGUAUGCCUCUACUUGACUAGCUCAUUAAUCAAAGAUGGUUAAGUUUCCUAGUCAUGGACAUGUGUUGUCAUUUGAUGAACAGGAUCACAUCAUUAGAGAGUGAUGUGAUGGACAAGACCCAUCCGUUAGCUUAGCAUAAUGAUCGUUCAGUUUUAUUGCUACUGCUUUCUUCAUAACUUAUACAUGUUCCUCUGACUAUGAGAUUAUGCAACUCUCGAAUACCGGAGGAACACCUUGUGUGCUAUCAAACGUCACAACAUAACUGGGUGAUUAUAAAGAUGCUCUACAUGUGUCUCUGAUGGUGUUUGUUGAGUUGGCAUAGAUCAAGAUUAGGAUUUGUCACUCCGUGUAUCGGAGAAGUAUCUCUGGGCCCUCUCGACAAUGCACAUCACUCUAAGCCUUGCAAGCAUUGUGACUAAUGAGUUAGUUGUGGGAUGAUGCAUUACAGAACGAGUAAAGAGACUUGCCGGUAACGAGAUUGAACUAGGUAUGAGGAUACCGACGAUCGAAUCUCGGGCAAGUAACAUACCGAUGACAAAGGGAACAACAUGUAUCAUUAUGCGGUUUGACCAAGAAAGAUCUUCGUAGAAUAUGUGGGAGCCAAUAUGAACAUCCAGGUUCCGCUAUUGCUUAUUGACCGAAGACGUGUCUCGGUCAUGUCUACAUAGUUCUCGAACCCAUAGGGUCCGCACGCUUAAUAUUCGGUGACGAUUGGUAUUAUGAGUUUAUGUGUUUUGAUAUACCUAAGUUUGUUCGGAGUCCCGGAUGAGAUCGGGGACAUGACGAGGAGUCUCGAAAUGGUCGAGACGUAAAGAUCGAUAUAUUGGAAGGCUACAUUCGGACAUCGGAAAGGUUCCGAGUGAUUCGGGUAUUUUUCGGAGUACCGAAGAGUUACGGGAAUUCGUAUUGGGCCUUAAUGGGCCAUACGGGAAAGGAGAGAAAGGCCUCAAGGGUGGCCGUGCCCCUUCCCCAUGGACUGGUCCGAAUUGGACAAGGGAAAGGGGGCGCCCCCUUCCUUCCUUCUCCUUCUCCCUUCCCUUUUUCCUAUUCCAUGUGCGAGGUGGAAUCCUACUAGGACUAGGGAGUCCUAGUAGGGCUCGACACUUUGGGCGCGCCCUAUGAGGGCCGGCCUCCUCCUCCCUCCAUCCUUUAUAUACGUGGCCAGGGGCACCCCAUAGACACACAAGUUGAUCAUUGAUCUCUUAGCCGUGUGCGGUGCCCCCCUCCACCAUAAUCCACCUCGGUCAUAUCGUAGCGGUGCUAAGGCGAAGCCCUGUUCCGGUAGCAUCAUCAUCACGGUCAUCACGCCGUCGUGCUGACGAUGCUCUCCCUCGACAUUCUGCUGGAUCGUGAGUUCGUGGGACGUCAUCGAGCCGAACGUGUGCAGAUCGCGGAGGUGUCAUACUUUCGAUACUAGGAUCGGUCGAUCGUGAAGACGUAUGACUACAUCAACCGCGUUGUCAUAACGCUUCCACUUACGGUCUACGAGGGUGCGUGGACAACACUCUCCCUGUCGUUGCUAUGCAUCACCAUGAUCUUGCAUGUGCGUAGGAAUUUUUUUUAAAUUACUGUGUUCCCCAACAGUGGCAUCCGAGCCAGGUAUAUGCGUAGAUGUUAUAUGCACGAGUAGAACACAAAGGAGUUGUGGGUGUGGGUAUAUACAUAUUGCUUGCCGUCACUAGUUGAUUCUUGAUUCGGCGGUAUUGUUGGAUGAAGCGGCCCAGACCGACAUUACGCGUACGCUUACACGAGACUGGUUCUACCGACGUGCUUCGCACACAGGUGUCUGGUGGGUGUCAGUUUCUCCAACUUUAGUUGAAUCGGAUUCAAUGAAAAGGGUUCUUUAUGAAGAUGAAAAAGCAAUCACUAUACCGUGUUGUGGUUUUUGAUGCGUAGGUAAGAACGGUUCUUACUCAGCCCGUAGCAGCCACGUAAAACUUGCAACAACAAAGUAGAGGACGUCUAACUUGUUUUUGCAGGGCUUGUUGUGAUGUGAUAUGGUCAAGAAGUGAUGAGAUAUAAGUUAUUGUAUGAGAUGAUCAUGUUUUGUUAAAGUUAUCGGCAACUGGCAGGAGCCUUAUGGUUGUCUCUUUAACGCAUAAGAUGCAAGCGCCAUAUAAUUGCUUUACUUUAUCGCUAUGCGAUAGUAAUAGUUGCAAAAGCAAUAGUUGGUGAGACGACCAUGUGACGAUACGUUCAUAGAGAUCAAGAUGAUGGAGAUCAUGGUGUCAUGCCGGUGACGAUACAGAUCAUGACGGUGUUUUGGAGAUGGAGAUCAAAGGCACAAGAUGAUGAUGGCCAUAUCAUGUCACAUAUUUUGAUUGCAUGUGAUGUUUAUCCUUUAUGUAUCUUCUUUUGCUUAGUUUUGCGGCAGCAUUAUAAGAUGAUCUCUCACUAAAUUUCAAGGUAUAAGUGUUCUCCCUGAGUAUGCACCGUUGCGAUAGUUCAUCGUGCCGAGACACCACGUGAUGAUCGGGUGUGAUAAGCUCUACGUUCACAUACAACGGGUGCAAGCCAAUUUUGCACACGUGGAAUACUCGGGUUAAACUUGACGAGCCUAGGAUAUGCAGAUAUGGCCUCGAAACACUGGAGACCAAAAGGUCAAGCGUGAAUCAUAUAGUAGAUAUGAUCGACAUAGUGAUGUCCACCAUUGAAAACUACUCCAUCUCACGUGAUGAUCGGACGUGGUUUAGUUGAUUUGGAUCACGUGAUCAUUUAGAUGACUAGAGGGAUGUAUAUCUAAGUGGGAGUUCUUAAGUAAUAUGAUUAAUUGAACUUUAAUUUAUCAUGAACUUAGUCUUGAUAGUAUUUGCAUAACUAUGUUGUAGAUCAAUAGCUCGCAAUGUAGCUCCCCGUUUAUUUUUGAUAUGUUCCUAGAGAAAAACUAUGUUGAAAGAUGAUAGUAGCAAUGAUGCGAACUAGGUUCAUGAUCUAAGGAUCAUCCUCAUUGCUGCAUAGAAGAAUUAUGUCCUUGAUGCACCACUAGGUGACAGGCCUAUUGCAGGAGUAGAUGCACACGUUAUGAACGUUUGACAAAGCUCGGUAUGAUGACUACUUAAUAGUUUAGUGCACCAUGCUUUAUGGCUUAGAACCGGGACUUCAAAAAUGUUUUGAAUGCCACGGAACAUAUAAGAUGUUCUAAGAGUUGAAAUUGGUAUUUCAUACUCAUGCCCGUGUCGAGAGGUAUGAGACCUUUGACAGUACUUUGCCUACAAGGUGGAGGAGAAUAGCUCAACCAGUGAGCAUGUGCUCAGAUUGUCUGGGUACUACAAUUGCUUGAAUCAAGUGGGAGUUAAUCUUCAGAAUAAGAUAGUAAUUGAUAAAGUUCUCUAGUCACUACCACCAAGUUACUAGAACUUAGUGAUGAACUAUAAUAUGCAAGGGAUGAUGAAAGUAAUUCCCAAGCUCUUCACGAUGCUGAAAUCGGUGAAGGUAGAAAUCAAGAAAUAGCAUCAAGUGUUGAUGGUUAACAAGACCACUAGUUUCAAGAAAAGGGCAAAGGGAAAGAAAGAGGAACUUCAAAGAAAAAAGGCAAGCAAGUUGCCACUCCCAUGAAGAAGCUCAAAGCUAGACCUGAUACGUCUCUGUCGUAUCUACUUUUCCAAACACUUUUGCCCCUGUUUUGAACUCUAACUUGCAUGAUUUGAAUGGAACUAACCCGGACUGACGCUGUUUCAGCAGAAUUGCCAUGGUGUUACUUUGUGCAGAAAUAAAAGUUCUCGGAAUGACCUGAAAACUAACGGAGAAUUAUUUUGGAAUAUAUAAAAAAUACUGGAAGAAAGAUCCAUGUCAGGGGGGCUCCACCUGUCCACGAGGGUGGGGGCGCGCCCUACCCCCCUGGGCGCGCCCCCCUGCCUUGUGGGCCCCCUGACGCUCCACCGACCUCAACCUUGACUCCAUAUAUUCACUUUCGGGGAGAAAAAAUAGAGAGAAGGAUUCAUCGCAUUUUACGAUACGGAGCCGCCGCCAAGCCCUAAACUCUCUCGGGAGGGCUGAUCUGGAGUCCGUUCGGGGCUCCGAAGAGGGGAAUCCGUCGCCAUUGUCAUCAUCAACCUUCCUCCAUCACCAAUUUCAUGAUGCUCACCGCCGUGUGUGAGUAAUUCCAUCGUAGGCUUGCUGGACGGUGAUGGGUUGGAUGAGAUUUAUCAUGUAAUCGAGUUAGUUCUGUUAGGGUUUUAUCCCUAGUGUCCACUAUGUUCUGAGAUUAAUGUUGCUAUGACUUUGCUAUGCUUAAUGCUUGUCACUAGGGCCCAAGUGCCAUGAUUUCAUAUCUGAACCUAUUAUGUUUUCAUCAAUAUAUGAGAAUUCUUGAUCCUAUCUUGCAAGUCCAUAGUCACCUAUUAUGUGUUAUGAUCCUGCAACCCCAAAGUGACAAUAAUCGGGACCACUCCCAGUGAUGACCGUAGUUUGAGGAGUUCAUGUAUUCACUAUGUGUUAAUGCUUUGUUCCGGUACUCUAUUAAAAGGAGGCCUUAAUAUCCCUUAGUUUCCAUUAGGACCCCACUGCCACGGGAGGGUAGGACAAAAGAUGUCAUGCAAGUUCUUUUCCAUAAGCACGUUUGACUAUAUUCGGAAUACAUGCCUACAUUACAUUGAUGAACUGGAGGUAGUUCUGUGUCACCCUAGGCUAUGACUGUUACAUGAUCGAUCGCAUCCGGCAUAAUUCUCCAUCACCGAUCCAAUGCUUACGAGCUUUUCAUAUAUUGUUCUUCGCUUAUUUACUUUUCCGUUGCUACUAUUACACUCACUACAAAACCCAAAAAUAGUACUUUUGCUGCCAUUACCUUUUGCCACCGUUACCACUACUAUCAUAUUACUUUGCUACUAAAUACCUUGCUGCAGAUAUUAAGUUUCCAGGUGUGGUUGAAUUAACAACUCAGCUGUUAAUACUUGAGAAUAUUCUUUGGCUCCCCUUAUGUCGAAUCAAUAAAUUUGGGUUGAAUACUCUACCCUCGAAAACUGUUGCGAUCCCCUAUACUUGUGGAUUAUCAAGAACAUUUUCUGGCGCCGUUGCCGGGGAGCAUAGCUCUAUUCUUUGAGUCACUUGGGAUUUAUAUCUGCUUAUCAUUAUGAAGAACUUGAAAGAUCAAAGAACCAAGAUUUUUCCCUCAACUACGAGGGGAAGUAAGGAACUGCCAUCUAGCUCUUCACUUGAUUCACCUUCUCUUUUGAGUAAGCUUGCGACACCUAAACCUGCUUCUGCUAUUAAUUCUGAUAUGUCGCAUGUUAUUGACGAUACCACUUCUGCUAUGCAUGAUACUUAUGAUGAAACUACUUCUAUGCUUGAUACUACUGUGCCACUUGGUGAAUUUCUUGAUGAACAACUUUCUAGGGCUAGAGAGAAUGAAAUUAUUGAAACUGAUAAUAUUGAUGAAAGUGAUGAUGAAGAUUCUCCCCCUAGAUAUGAAUUGCCUAUUGUUCCCGAGGGUUAUGUUAUGGAUGAAGAAACUGCUAGAGACUUUCUUGCUUGCAAUGAUAGGAGUGAUCUUAAGAAACUUUUAGCUAAGCUGAAACAAAAAACUUUGAAUGCUAGAAUGAAAUAUGAUCUUGCUAAUGCUACUUCACCUAUCUUUGUUACUGAUAAGGACUAUGAUUUCUCUGUUGAUCCUGAGUUAAUUACUUUGGUUGAAUCUGAUCCUUUCUAUGGCUAUGAAUCUGAAACUGUUGUGGCACAUCUUACUAAAUUAAAUGAUAUAGCCACCUUGUUCACUAAUGAUAAGAAAACUCGCUACUAUUAUAUCCUUAAAUUAUUUCCGUUCUCAUUAAAGGGUGAUGCUAAGAUAUGGUUUAAUUCUCUUGAUCCUGGUUGUGUGCGUAGUCCCCGGGAUAUGAUUUACUACUUCUUUGCUAAAUAUUUCCCCAUUCAUAAGAAACAGGCUGCUUUAAGGGAGAUAUAUAAUUUUGUGAAAAUUUAAGAAGAGAGUCUCCCACAAGCUUGGGGGAGGCUUCUCCAAUUACUUAAUGUUUUUCCUGAUCAUCCUCUCAAGAAAAAUGAAAUACUUGAUAUCUUUUAUAAUGGACUAACCGAUGCUUCCAGAGAUUACCUGGAUAAUUGUGCUGGUUGUGUUUUCAGCGAAAGAACUAUUGAUCAAGCUAAAAUUCUAUUGAAUAAUAUGUUGACCAAUGAAAAUAAUUGGACACUUCCUGAACCAACUCCUAAGCCAACUCCGAAGAAAAGGGGUAUUCUAUUUCUCAGUCCUGAAGAUAGGCAAGAGGCAAAGAAAUCUAUGAAAGAAAAAGGUAUUAAAGCUUAAGAUGAUAAGAAUUUGCCUCCUAUUGAAGAAAUACAUGGUCUUAAUUCAUCACCUAUUGAAAAAACACAUGGUCUCGAUAACCCAACACAGGUAGUAAAGGUAAAUUCUCUCUAUAGAUAUGAUAAAGCUGAAAUCCCUCCUGCUAAGUAUGCUAGCCAAUGUUUGGAUGAAUUUGAUAACUUUAUGGUUAAACAAGAAGACUUUAAUUCUUAUGUUGCUAGACAAUUGAAACAUAAUGCUUACAUGAUUGAACACUUGAGUGAUUAUAUGGCUAAUGUUAAAGGUGAACUUAAACUUAUUAGUAAACAUGCUUCUAUGGUUACCACUCAAGUAGAACAAGUACUUAAAGCUCAGAAUGAUUUUCUCAAUGAAUUAAAUAAUAAGAAUGAUAAUGUUGUUAGAGUUAUGACUAGAGGUGGUAAAAUGAUUCAGGAGCCUUUGUAUCUUGAGGGCCACCCUAAGAGAAUUGAGCAAGAUUCUCAGAGAACUAAUAUUGAUGCACCUAGUCCAUCUAAAAGGAAGAAAAAGAAAAAUGGUAGGACUUUGCAUGCUUCUAGUGAACCUGUUGUUGACGCACCUGAGAAUCCCAAUGAUAUUUCUAUUUCUGAUGCUGAAACACAGUCUGGUAAUGAACAUGAACCUAGUGAUAAUGUUAAUGAUGAUAUUCAUGUUGAUGCUCAACCUAGUAAUGAUAAUGAUGUAGAGAUUGAACCUGCUGUUGAUCUUGAUAACCCACAAUCAAGAAUCAACGUUAUGAUAAGAGAGACUUUGUUGCUAGGAAGCACGGUAAAGAAAGAGAACCAUGGGUUCAGAAACCCAUGCCUUUUCCUCCUAAACCAUCUAAGAAAAAGGAUGAUGAGGAUUUUGAGCGCUUUGCUGAAAUGAUUAGACCUAUCUUUUUGCGUAUGCGUUUGACUGAUAUGCUUAAAAUGAAUCCUUAUGCUAAAUAUAUGAAAGAUAUUGUUACAAAUAAGAGAAAGAUACCGGAAGCUGAAAUUUCCACCAUGCUUGCUAAUUACACUUUUAAGGGUGGAAUACCAAAGAAACUUGGAGAUCCAGGAGUACCAACUAUACCAUGCUCCAUUAAAAGAAACUAUGUUAAAACUGCUUUAUGUGAUCUUGGAGCCGGUGGUAGUGUUAUGCCUCUCUCCUUAUAUCGUAGACUUGAUUUGAAUAAGUUGACACCUACUGACAUAUCUUUGCAAAUGGCUAAUGAAUCAACUGCUAUACCUGUCGGUAUUUGUGAGGAUGUGCCUGUUGUGGUUGCAAACGUUACUAUUUUAACGGACUUUGUUAUUCUUGAUAUUCCCGAGGACGAUAGUAUGUCUAUUAUUCUUUGAAGACCCUUUUUGAAUAUUGCAGGGGCUGUUAUUGAUUGCACCAAAGGCAAUGUCACUUUUCAUGUUAAUGGUAAUGAGCAUACGGUACACUUUCCGAGGAAACAACCUCAAGUCCACAGUAUCAAUUCUAUUGGAAAAAUUUCAACAAUUACUAUUGGAGGUUUCGAAUUUCGUCUUCCUACUGUCAAGAAGAAAUAUGAUAUUCUUAUUGUUGGGGACAUGCAUAUCCCCGUUGAGGUAACAUAGUGUUAUUCGAAAUUUCUCUGGUUUCAUGUUACUCGAAAUGAGUUUGGUAACAAGACCCGAUCAACCUUGUUAGUGGAUUCCUUUUGAUGAGCAUGAGAUCGAUGAAGUUAGAAAAUACAACUAUCUGUACCCUCUUUUUACUUUCUGUUAUUUAUAUUAAAUAAGGCAAAAUAGUAUAUUCUGUCUGUUUUCUGAAUUAUCAAUGCAAUAAAAAAUACCCCGAAAAUAAAAGUUCUCCAAAUGCCCUGAAAAUUAAAUAUGAUUUUUUUUCUAGAAUAUUUGAGAAUAUUUGGCACUGAGAACACACCAGGGGAGCAGGCACCUGGCCACGAGGGUCCUGGGCGUGCACCCUGCCUCAUGGGCCCACGGUGGCUCCCCUCCACUUAUUCUAGCUACCACACACUCCUUCUUCCUCCCCAAAACAUCACUAGCCAGCUCAAACCCGAGUCCAAGCUCAUCUUGCUGCCAUUUUUGAUCUCCUUGCUCAAAGCUCCAUUCCCAAAACUGCUUUGGGGUAUUGUUCUUUGGUAUGUGACUCCUCCAAUGGUCCAAUUAGUUUUUGUUCUAGUGCUUUAUUAAUUGCAAAUUUUUGCUGCUUAGGUGACCCUGUUCUUGAGCUUGCAUGUCAAAUUUAUAUGGUCAAAAGUAGUUUUAAUGCAUGAUAUAUCCUCUAGGCACUUGUAGGAGUAGUUGCUAUCAAUUUUGUUGAGUUUGGUUCACUUUUAUUAUGAAGUUACUAAAAAUUUCAGUUAUUUUCAAAAAAAGAUGAAGAUAUUUUUGAGGGGCUCAUCGAGCCGAAGCUCGAAGGAUAAACAAAGUGAAGAGAACAAGAAGACCAAGUAUAAUCUCCCUCGCACCACGGAGGCCCGGCCGUGUGAAUGGCCUUGUGAUGAUUUCUUGAGAGCGGCUGGGAUUUAUGAUGAUUUCUAUGAAUUGGAUGAGAAUGCAGGCCUCACCGCCUUCCUCCACGACCAACGCGAACAGUAUCUCUUACUCACCAAUAUCUUUGUGCAAAACUUUCAUUUCCAUGCUAGGAGCUCACCACCUACGGUGGAAUUUUAUUUAUAUGAUGAGCAUAAGGAGAUGUCACUUCGCGAUUUUUGUCGGUUUUGUUUGAUCCCUAUUGAGGGCAGUGUAGAAGAACCACAUCCUGAUGAUGUGGAAGGGUUUAUUGAUACAAUUGCUGUAGGGGAAACGAGGAAACUUUCCGAUGCAAGAAUUACUAGCAUACAUUUUCCUGUUUUACGUUACUUCGCAAUAUUUGCUAGUAGAUGCUUAAUUGGUCGCGGAAACUGUGGCAACCUUAGUGCCCCUGAUAUUGUUAGUUUGUGCCAUGCCUUGUUCCGUGAUGACACAUUUAGUAUGCGAUCUAUUGUUGCAAAGCGGUUAAAUCUUAACCGUACUAAAGGCCCCGUCCUUGGAGGCAUCUUCGCCUCGCGCCUCGCUGCACAUUUUAACAUACCUAUUAGGCAUUAUGAGAAGGAAGAGAAGUUGUUGCCUCCUGUUUUUCUAGACUAUAAGAGUAUGGUAGCACAUGAUUUUAUUGUUAAGAAUAAGGAAAAGAUGCUUAAGUACAAGAUGAUAUUUGAUAAAAAUCACCCUGAGACUAUUACUUUGCCUGCUCCUUCCUUGUUUGACUUAUCUGCAGGCAAGUACCUUGUUCCGCCGGAGGCCAUUCACGCCUACCGAAACCCCACACCAGCUACAGAGCUAGAGCCGGAACCACAAUUUGAUCCUCACCAGCAGUCUGUUUAUCAGUGGAACCCGGAAGAGAUCGCCAAUCAGUGGCACCAGGGGGAUUCUUCUCAGUACGACCCCAACUAUUACUUUGGAUAUCCGCCAGGCCAACCGUGGCCAUAGGCCAACUUAGGCCAAAAGCCUAAGCUUGGGGGAGUACGUAUUUCUCACCGACAUUACAUUUACAUUCACACACUGAUGCUAGUUGUCGGUGCUCAUACUUUUUCAUUGUAUCAUCCAUGCUAGUUUAUUUCCCUUUAUAUGCUUUCUUCUUGUGUGUUUGAUAAACCUUAAGAAAAACAAAAAAUAUAGUUGUAGCCUUUAGUUAGUUUACUUUCCAUGCCUGUAGUAGUAGUAAUUAAAAAGAAAACCCAAAAAGAUUUCUCAUUCUUCUUUUCCUUGUUGGGAGCUUUCCCGUGUAAAUAGUUUUAUUUCUCUCUUAUUCUUUGGGGGUUGAGAGGAGAAGACCAUAAUGAAAAUGUUAAAGUGGCUCUCAUAUGCAUUAUUGUUGAUCUAACAAAGAGCCCAUAUUACCUUGUCUUCUCUCUUGAACUGAAUGCUUGCAGGUUCCAGCUGAAGGAAAUAUGCUCUAGAGGCAAUAAUAAAGUUAUUAUUUAUUUCCUUAUAUCAUGAUAAUGUUGGAAAUAUGCCCUAGAGGCAAUAAUAAAAUGGUUAUUAUUAUAUUUCUUUGUUCAUGAUAAUUGUCUAUAAUUCAUGCUAUAAUUGUGUUAUCCGGAAGUCGUAAUACAUGUGUGAAUACAUAGACCACAACACGUCCCUAGUGAACCUCUAGUUGACUAGCUCGUUAAUCAAAAGAUAGUCAUGGUUUCCUGACUAUGGACAUUGGAUGUCAUUGAUAACGGGACCACAUCAUUAGGAGAAUGAUGUGAUGGACACGACCCAAUCCUAAGCAUAACUCAAAGAUCGUGUAGUUCGUUUGAUAUAACUUUUCCGAAUGUCAAGUAUCAUUUCCUUAGACCAUGAGAUUGUGCAACUCCCGGAUACCGUAGGAGUGCUUUGGGUGUGCCAAACGUCACAACGUAACUGGGUGACUAUAAAGGUACACUACGGGUAUCUCCGAAAGUGUCUAUUGGGUUGGCACGAAUCGAGACUUGGAUUUGUCACUCCGUAUGACGGAGAGGUAUCUCCGGGCCCACUCGGUAAUGCAUCAUCAUAAUGAGCUCAAUGUGACCAAGUGGUUGAUCACGGGAUCAUGCAUUAUGGUACGAGUAAAGUGACUUGCCGGUAACAAGAUUGAACAAGGUAUUGGGAUACUGACGAUAGAGUCUCGGGCAAGUAACGUAACGAUUGACAAAGGGAAUUGUAUAUGGAUUGAUUGAAUCCUCGACAUCAUGGUUCAUCCGAUGAGAUCAUCGAGGAGCAUGUGGGAUCCAACAUGGGUAUCCAGAUCCCGCUGUUGGUUAUUGACCGGAGAGUCGUCUCGGUCAUGUCUGUGUGUCUCCCGAACCCGUAGGAUCUACACACUUAAGGUUCAGUGACGCUAGGGUUGUUGAGAUAUUAGUAUACAGUAACCUGAAAGUUGUUCGGAAUCCCGGAUGAGAUCCCGAACGUCACGAGGAGUUCCGGAAUGGUCCAGAGGUGAAGAUUUAUAUAUAGGAAGUCAAGUUUCGACCAUCGGGGAGGUUUUCGGGGUAAUGGGUAUAGUACCGGGACCACUGGAAGGGUCCCGGGGGUCCACCGGGUGGGGACACCUAUCCCGGAGGGCCCCAUGGGCUGAAGUGGGAGGAGAACCAGCCCCUAGUGGGCUGGUGCGCCCCCAAUGGGCCUCCCCCUGCGCCUAGGGUUGGAAACCCUAGGGGUGGGGGGCGCCCCACUUGGCUUGGGGGGCACUCCACCCCCCUUGGCCGCCGCCCCCCAUUGGAGAUUCAAUCUCCUAGGGCCGGAUCCCCCACCUAGGGGUCCUAUAUAUAGUGGGGGGAGUGAGGGCAGCCGCACCCUAACCACAGGCGCCUCCCUCUCCCUCCCGUGACACCUCUCCUUCUCGCAGUGCUCGGCGAAGCCCUGCCGAGAUCGCCGUAGUUUCCACCACCACGCCGUCGUGCUGCUGGACCUCCAUCAACCUCUCCUUCCCCCUUGCUGGAUCAAGUUGGAGGAGAUGUCUUCCCAACCGUACGUGUGUUGAACGCGGAGGUGUCGUCCGUUCAGCACUAGGUCAUCGGUGAUUUGGAUCACGACGAGUACGACUCCAUCAACCCCGUUCUCUUGAAUGCUUCCGCUCGCGAUCUACAAGGGUAUGUAGAUGCACUCCUCUCUCCCUCGUUGCUAGAUGACUCCAUAGAUUGAUCUUGGUGAUGCGUAGAAAAUUUUAAAAUUCUGCUACGUUCCCCUACAGUGGCAUCGUGAGCUAGGUCUAUGCGUAGUUUCUAUGCACGAGUAGAACACAAAGCAGUUGUGGGCGUCGAUAUUGUCAAUUUACUUGUCGUUGCUAGUCUUAUCUUGAUUCGGCGGCAUCGUGGGAUGAAGCGGCCUGGACCGACUUUACACGUACGCUUACGUGAGACUGGUUCCACCGAUUGACAUGCGCUAGUUGCAUAAGGUGGCUGGCGGGUGUCUGUCUCUCCCACUUUAGUCUGAUCGGAUUCGAUGAAAAGGGUCCUUAUGAAGGGUAAAUAGAAAUUGGCAUAUCACGUUGUGGUUUUGGCGUAGGUAAGAAACGUUCUUGCUAGAAACCUAUAGCAGCCACGUAAAAACUUGCAACAACAAUUAGAGGACGUCUAACUUGUUUUUGCAGCAAGUGCCAUGUGAUGUGAUAUGGCCAAAAGGAUGUGAUGAAUGAUAUAUGUGAUGUAUGAGAUUGAUCAUGUUCUUGUAAUAGGAAUCACGACUUGCAUGUCGAUGAGUAUGACAACCGGCAGGAGCCAUAGGAAUUGUCUUAAUUUAUUUAUGACCUGCGUGUCAACAUAAAUGUCAUGUAAUUACUUUACUUUAUUGCUAAAGCGUUAGCCAUAGUAGUAGAAGUAAUAGAUGACGAGACAACUUCAAGAAGACACGAUGAUGGAGAUCAUGAUGAUGGACAUCAUGGUGUCAUGACGGUGACAACAAUGAUCAUGGAGCCUCGAAGAUGGAGAUCAAAAGGAGCAAAUUAUAUUGGCCAUAUCAUGUCACUAUUUGAUUGCAUGUGAUGUUUAUCAUGUUUUACAUCUUAUUUGCUUAGAACGACGGUAGCUUAAAUAAGAUGAUCCCUCAUACUAAUUUCAAGAAAGUGUUCCCCUAACUGUGCACCGUUGCGAAGGUUCGUUGUUUCGAAGCACCACGUGAUGAUCGGGUGUGAUAGAUUCUAACGUUCGAAUACAAUGGGUGUAAGCCAGAUUUACACACGCAAUACACUUAGGUUGACUUGACGAGCCUAGCAUGUAUAGACAUGGCCUCGGAACACGGAAGACCGAAAGGUCGAGCAUGAGUCGUAUAGAAGAUACGAUCAACAUGAAGAUGUUCACCGAUGUUGACUAGUCCGUCUCACGUGAUGAUUGGACAUGGCCUAGUUGACUCGGAUCAUGUUUCACUCAGAUGACUAGAGGGAUGUCUAUCUGAGUGGGAGUUCAUUGAAUAAUUUGAUUAGAUGAACUUAAUUAUCAUGAACUUAGUCUAAAAUCUUUACAAUAUGUCUUGUAGAUCAAAUGGCCCACGUUGUCCUCAACUUCAACGCGUUCCUAGAGAAAACCAAGCUAAAAGAUGAUGGCAGCAACUAUACGGACUGGGUCCGGAACCUGAGGAUCAUCCUCAUAGCUGCCAAGAAAGAUUAUGUCCUAGAAGCACCGGUAGGUGACGCACCCAUCCCAGAGAACCAAGACGUUAUGAAUGCUUGGCAGUCACGUGCUGAUGAUUACUCCCUCGUUCAGUGCGGCAUGCUUUACAGCUUAGAACCGGGGCUCCAAAAGCGUUUUGAGCAACACGGAGCAUAUGAGAUGUUCGAAGAGCUGAAAAUGGUUUUCCAAGCUCAUGCCUGGGUCGAGAGAUAUGAAGUCUCCAACAAGUUCUUCAGUUGUAAGAUGGAGGAAAACAGUUCUGUCAAUGAGCACAUACUCAAAAUGUCUGGGUUGCAUAAGCGCUUGACUCAGUUGGGAGUUAAUCUCCCGGAUGACGCGGUCAUUGACAGAAUCCUUCAGUCGCUUCCACCGAGCUACAAGAGCUUUGUGAUGAACUUCAAUAUGCAGGGGAUGGAAAAGACCAUUCCUGAGGUAUAUUCAAUGCCGAAAUCAGCGGAGGUGGAAAUCAAAAAGGAACAUCAAGUGUUGAUGGUGAAUAAAACCACUAAGUUCAAGAAAGGCAAGGGUAAAAAGAACUUCAAGAAGGAUGGCAAGGGAGUUGCCGCGCCCGGUAAGCAAGCUGCCGGGAAGAAGUCAAAGAAUGGACCCAAGCCUGAGACUGAGUGUUUUUAUUGCAAGGGAAGUGGUCACUGGAAGCGGAACUACCCCAAAUACUUAGCGGACAAAAAGGCCGGCAACACUAAAGGUAUAUGUGAUAUACAUGUAAUUGAUGUGUACCUUACCAGUACUCGUAGUAGCUCCUGGCUAUUUGAUACCGAUGCGGUUGCACACAUUUGUAACUCAAAGCAGGAGCUGCGGAAUAAGCGGAGACUGGCGAAGGACGAGGUGACGAUGCACGUUGGGAAUGGUUCCAAGGUCGAUGUGAUCGCCGUUGGCACGCUGCCUCUACAUUUACCUACGGGAUUAGUUUUAAACCUCAAUAAUUGUUAUUUAGUGCCAGCUUUGAGCAUGAACAUUGUAUCAGGAUCUCGUUUAAUUCGAGAUGGCUACUCAUUUAAAUCCGAGAAUAAUGGUUGUUCUAUUUAUAUGAGAGAUAUGUUUUAUGGUCAUGCUCCGCUGGUGAAUGGUUUAUUCUUAAUGAAUCUCGAGCGUAAUGUUACACAUAUUCAUAGUGUGAAUACCAAAAGAUGUAAGGUUGAUAAUGAUAGUCCCACAUACUUGUGGCACUGCCGCCUUGGUCACAUAGGUGUCAAACGCAUGAAGAAGCUCCAUGCAGAUGGACUUUUGGAGUCUCUUGAUUAUGAAUCAUUUGACAUGUGUGAACCAUGCCUCAUGGGUAAAAUGACCAAGACUCCGUUCUAAGGAACAAUGGAGCAAGCAACCAACUUAUUGGAAAUCAUACAUACUGAUGUGUGCGGCCCAAUGAGUGUUGAGGCUCGCGGUGGCUACCGUUAUGUUCUCACCCUCACUGAUGACUUGAGUAGAUAUGGGUAUGUCUACUUAAUGAAACACAAGUCUGGGACCUUUGAAAAGUUCAAGGAAUUUAAGAGUGAGGUUGAGAAUCAACGUGACAGGAAAAUCAAGUUCUUGCGAUCAGAUCGUGAGGGAGAAUACUUGAGUCACGAAUUUGGCACACACUUAAGGAAAUGUGGAAUAGUUUCACAACUCACGCCGCCUGGAACACCUCGGCGUAAUGGUGUGUUCGAACGUCGUAAUCGCACUCUAUUGGAUAUGGUGUGAUCUAUGAUGUCUCUUACCGAUUUACCGCUGUCAUUUUGGGCCUUUGCUUUAGAGACUGCCACAUUCACUUUAAAUAGGGCUCCGUCGAAAUCCGUUGAGAUUAUGGUUUGGGAAGAAACCUAAGCUGUCGUUUCUAAAAGUUUGGGGAUGCGAUGCUUAUGUCAAGAAACUUCAACCUGAAAAGCUCGAACCCAAAUCGGAAAAGUGCAUCUUCAUAGGAUACCCUAAAAAACUAUUGGGUAUACCUUCUACCUCAGAUCCGAAGGUAAGAUCUUUGUUGCCAAGAAUGGAUCCUUUCUAGAGAAAGAGUUUCUCUCAAAAAAAUAAGUGGGAGGAAAGUAGAACUCGAUGAAGUAUUACCUCUUGAACCGGUAAGUGGCGCAGCUCAAGGAAAUGUUCCUGAGGUGCCUGCACCGACUAGAGAGGAAGUUAAUGAUGAUGAUCAUGAAACUUCAGAUCAAGUUUCUACUAAACUUUGUAGGUCCACAAGGACACGUUCCACACUAGAGUGGUACGGCAACCCUGUCCUAGAAAUCAUGUUGUUAGACAACGGUGAACCUUCGAACUAUGAAGAAGCGAUGGCGGGCCCAGAUUCCGACAAAUGGCUGGAAGCCAUGAAAUCCGAGAUAGGAUCCAUGUAUGAAACGAAGUAUGGACUUUGACUGACUUGCCCGAUGAUCGGCGAGCCAUAGAAAAUAAAUGGAUCUUUAAGAAGAAGACAUACGCGGAUGGUAAUGUAACCAUCUAUAAUGCUCGACUUGUCGCUAAGGGUUAUCAACAAGUUCAAGGGGUUGACUACGAUGAGACUUUCUCACCCGUAGCGAAGCUGAAGUCCGUCCGAAUCAUGUUAGCAAUUGCUGCAUUCUAUGAUUAUGAGAUAUGGCAAAUGGACGUCAAAACGGCAUUCCUUAAUGGUUUCCUUAAGGAAGAAUUGUAUAUGAUGCAGCCGGAAGGUUUUGUCGAUCCUAAGAAUGCUUACAAGGUGUGCAAGCUCCAAUGCUCGAUCUAUGGGCUGGUGCAAGCAUCUCGGAGUUGGAACAUUCGUUUUGAUGAGAUGAUCAAAGCGUUUGUGUUUACGCAGACUUAUGGAGAAGCCUGCAUUUACAAGAAAGUGAGUGGGAGCUCUGUAGCAUUUCUCAUAUUGUAUGUGGAUGACAUACUGUUGAUGGGAAAUGAUAUAGAAUUCUUGGAAAGCAUAAAGGCCUACUUGAACAAGUGUUUUUCAAUGAAGGAUCUUGGAGAAGCUUCUUACAUAUUAGGCAUCAAGAUCUAUAGAGAUAGAUCGAGACGCCUCAUUGGUCUUUCACAGAGUACGUACCUUGUCAAGAUAUUGAAGAAGUUCAAUAUAGAUCAGUCAAAGAAGGGGUUCUUGCCUGUAUUGCAAGGUACGAGAUUGAGCACGGCUCAAUGCCCGACCACGGCAGAAGAUAGAGAAAAGAUGAGUGUCGUCCCCUAUGCCUCGGCCAUAGGGUCUAUCAUGUAUGCUAUGUUGUGUACCAGACCUAAUGUAAACCUUGCCGUAAGUUUGGUAGGAAGGUACCAAAGUAAUCCCGGCAUGGAACACUGGACAGCGGUCAAGAAUAUCCUGAAGUACCGGAAGAGGACUAAGGAUAUGUUUCUCAUUUAUGGAGGUGACGAAGAGCUCGUCGUAAAGGGUUACAUCGAUGCUAGCUUCGACACAGAUCUGGAUGACUCAAAGUCACAAACCGGAUACAUGUAUAUUUUUAAUGGUGGGGCAGUAAGCUGGUGCAGUUGCAAGCAAAGCGUUGUGGCGGGAUCUACAUGUGAAGCGGAGUACAUGGCAGCCUCGGAGGCAGCACAAGAAGCAAUCUGGGUGAAGGAGUUCAUUACCGACCUAGGAGUCAUACCCAAUGUGUCGGGCCCGAUGACUCUCUUUUGUGACAAACUGGAGCUAUUCCCUUGCCGAGGAGCCCAGGUUUCACAAGAAGACCAGGCAUAUCAAGCAUCGCUUCAACUCCAUUCGUGAAAGUGUUCAAAAUGGAGACAUAGAUAUUUGUAAAGUACAUACGGACCUGAAUGUGGCAGAUCCGUUGACUAAAACUCUCCCUAGAGCAAAACAUGAUCAACACCAGAACUGCAUGGGUGUUCGAUUCAUCACAAUGUAACUAGAUUAUUGACUCUAGUGCAAGUGGGAGACUGUUGGAAAUAUGCCCUAGAGGCAAUAAUAAAAUGGUUAUUAUUAUAUUUCUUUGUUCAUGAUAAUUGUCUAUUGCUCAUGCUAUAAUUGUGUUAUCCGGAAAUCGUAAUACAUGUGUGAAUACAUAGACCACAACAUGUCCCUAGUGAGCCUCUAGUUGACUAGCUCGUUGAUCAAAAGAUAGUCAUGGUUUCCUGACUAUGGACAUUGGAUGUCAUUGAUAACGGGAUCACAUCAUUAGGAGAAUGAUGUGAUGGACAAGACCCAAUCCUAAGCAUAGCUCAAAGAUCGUGUAGUUCGUUUGUUAUAACUUUUCCGAAUGUCAAGUAUCAUUUCCUUAGACCAUGAGAUUGUGCAACUCCUGGAUACCGUAGGAGUGCUUUGGGUGUGCCAAAUGUCAUAAUGUAACUGGGUGUCUAUAAAGGUACACUACGGGUAUCUCCGAAAGUGUCUAUUGGGUUGGCACGAAUCGAGACUGGGAUUUGUCACUCCGUAUGAUGGAGAGGUAUCUCUGGGCCCACUCGGUAAUGCAUCAUCAUAAUGAGCUCAAUGUGACCAAGUGGUUGAUCACGGGAUCAUGCAUUACGGUACGAGUAAAGUGACUUGCCGGUAACGAGAUUGAACAAGGUAUUGGGAUACCGACGAUCGAGUCUCGGGCAAGUAACGUACCGAUUGACAAAGGGAAUUGUAUACGGAUUGAUUGAAUCAUCGACAUUGUGGUUCAUUCGAUGAGAUCAUCGAGGAGCAUGUGGGAGACAACAUGCGUAUCCAGAUCCCGCUAUUGGUUACUGACCGGAGAGUCGUCUCGGUCAUGUCUGCGUGUCUCCCGAACCCGUAGGGUCUACACACUUAAGGUUCGGUGACGCUAGGGUUGUUGAGAUAUUAGUAUACGGUAACCCAAAAGUUGUUCGGAGUCUCGGAUGAGAUCUCGGACGUCACGAGGAGUUCCGGAAUGGUCCGGAGGUGAAGAUUUAUAUAUAGGAAGUCAAGUUUCGGCCAUCGGGAAGGUUUUCGGGGUAAUCGGUAUUGUACCGGGACCACCGGANNNNNNNNNNNNNNNNNNNNNNNNNNNNNNNNNNNNNNNNNNNNNNNNNNNNNNNNNNNNNNNNNNNNNNNNNNNNNNNNNNNNNNNNNNNNNNNNNNNNNNNNNNNNNNNNNNNNNNNNNNNNNNNNNNNNNNNNNNNNNNNNNNNNNNNNNNNNNNNNNNNNNNNNNNNNNNNNNNNNNNNNNNNNNNNNNNNNNNNNNNNNNNNNNNNNNNNNNNNNNNNNNNNNNNNNNNNNNNNNNNNNNNNNNNNNNNNNNNNNNNNNNNNNNNNNNNNNNNNNNNNNNNNNNNNNNNNNNNNNNNNNNNNNNNNNNNNNNNNNNNNNNNNNNNNNNNNNNNNNNNNNNNNNNNNNNNNNNNNNNNNNNNNNNNNNNNNNNNNNNNNNNNNNNNNNNNNNNNNNNNNNNNNNNNNNNNGGGGUCCUAUAUAUAGUGAGGGGAGGGAGGGCAGCCGCACCCUAACCCCUGGCGCCUCCCUCUCCCUCCCGUGACACCUCUCCUUCUCGCAGUGCUCGGCGAAGCCCUGCCUAGAUCGCCGUAGUUUCCACCACCACGCCGUCAUGCUGCUGGAUCUCCAUCAACCUCUCCUUCCCCCUUGCUGGAUCAAGUUGGAGGAGACGUCUUCCCAACCGUACGUGUGUUGAACGCGGAGGUGCUGUCCGUUCGGCACUAGGUCAUCGGUGAUUUGGAUCACGGCGAGUACGACUCCAUCAACCCCGUUCUCUUGAACGCUUCCACUCGCGGUCUACAAGGGUAUGUAGAUGCACUCCUCUCUCCCUCGUUGCUAGAUGACUCCAUAGAUUGAUCUUAGUGAUGCGUAGAAAAUUUUAAAAUUCUGCUACGUUCCCCUACAGAUAAAUGUUUAUUAUUCAUGCUAGAAUUGUAUUAACCGGAAACAUAAUACAUGUGCGAAUACAUAGACAAACAGUAUGUCACUAGUAUGUCUACAUAGGUUAUUGACCGGAGACGUGUCUUGAUCAUGUCUACAUAGUUCUCGAACCCGUAGGGUCCGCACGCUUAAAGUUUGAUGAUGAUUAUAUUUUGAGUUUAUAUGUUUUGACGUACCGAAGGAGUUCAGAGUCCCGGAUGAGAUCGGGGACAUGACGAGGAGUCUCGAAAUGGUCGAGACGUAAAGAUCGAUAUACUGGACGACUAUAUUCGGACAUCGAAAAGGUUCUGAGUGAUUCGGAUAUUUUCGAGAGUACCGGGGAGUUACGGGAAUUCGUAUUGGGCCUUAAUGGGCCAUACGGGAAAGGAGAGAAAGGCCUCAAAGGGUGGCCGCACCCCUCCCCAUGGGCUGGUCCGAAUUGGACUAGGGAGGGGGGGCGCCCCCUUCCUUCCUUCUCCUUUUUCCUUCCCUUUCCUUCCCUCCUACUCCUACUACUUGGAAGGACUCCUAGUUCUACUAGGAAAGGGGGAAUCCUACUCCCGGUGGGAGUAGGACUCCCCUAGGGCGCGCCAUAGAGAGGGCCGGCCCUCCCCCCUCCACUCCUUUAUAUACGGGGGCAGGGGGCACCCCAAAGACACAACAAUUGAUCUCUUGAUCUCUUAGCCGUGUGCGGUGCCCCCCUCCACCAUAAUCCACCUUGGUCAUAUCAUAGCGGUGCUUAGGCGAAGCCCUGCGUCGGUAGAACAUCAUCAUCGUCACCACGCCGUCGUGCUGACGAAACUCUCCCUCAACACUCGGUUGGAUCGGACUUCGAGGGACGUCAUCGAGUUGAACGUGUGCAGAACUCGGAGGUGCCGUGCAUUCGGUACUUGAUCGGUCGGAUCGUAAAGACGUACAACUACAUCAACCGCGUUGUGCUAACACUUUCGCUUUCGGCCUACGAGGAUACGUGGACAACACUCUCCCCUCUCGUUGCUAUGCAUCACCAUGAUCUUGCGUGUGCGUAGGAAUUUUUUCGAAAUUACUACGUUCCCCAACAGUGGUAUCAGAGCCAUGUUUUAUGCAUUGAUGUAAUAUGCAUGAGUAGAACGCAAGUGGGUUGUGGGCGAUAUAAGUCAUACUGCGUACCAGCAUGUCACACUUUGGUUUGGCGGUAUUGUUGGAUGAAGCGGCCCGGACCGACAUUACGCGUACGCUUACACGAGACUAGUUUUACCGCCGUGCUAUGCACACAGGUGACUAGCGGGUGUCAGUUUCUCCAACUUUAGUUGAACCGAGUGUGGCUACGCCCGAUCCUUGCGAAGGUUAAAACAACACCAACUUGACAAACUAUCGUUGUGGUUUUGAUGCGUAGGUAAGAACGGUUCUUGCUAAGCCCGUAGCAGCCACGUAAAACUUGCUACAACAAAGUAGAGGACGUCUAACUUGUUUUUGCAGGGCAUGUUGUGAUGUGGUAUGGUCAAGACGUGAUGAGAUAUAAGUUGUUGUAUAAGAUGAUCAUGUUUUGUUGAAGUUAUCGGCAACUGGCAGAAGCCUUAUGGUUGUCUCUUUAUUGCAUAAGAUGCAAGCGCCAAAUAAUUGCUUUACUUUAUCGCUAUGCGAUAGCAAUAGUUGCAAGAGCAAUAGUUGGCGAGACGACCAUGUGACGACACAUUGAUAUAGAUCAAGAUGAUGGAAAUCAUGGUGUCAUGCCGGUGACGAUGGAAAUCAUGACGAUGCUUUGGAGAUGGAGAUCAAAGACACAAGAUGAUGAUGGCCAUAUCAUGUCACACAUUUUUUAUUGCAUGUGAUGUUUAUCUUUUAUGCAUCUUAUCUUGCUUUGAUUGACGGUAGCAUUAUAAGAUGAUCUCUCACUAAAUUUCAAGAUAAAAAGUGUUCUCCCUGAGUAUGCACCGUUGCCAAAGUUCGUCGUGCCCAAACACCACGUGAUGAUCGGGUGUGAUAAGCUCUACGUCCAUCUACAACGGGUGCAAGCCAGUUUUGCACACGCAGAAUACUCAGGUUAAACUUGACGAGCCUAGCAUAUGCAGAUAUGGCCUCGGAACACUGAGACCGAAAGGUCGAGCGUGAAUCAUAUAGUAGAUAUGAUCAACAUAGUGAUGUUCACCAUUGAAAACUACUCCAUUUCACGUGAUGAUCGGUUAUGGUUUAGUUGACUUGGAUCGCGUGAUCACUUAGAAUAUUAGAGGGAUGUCUUUCUAAGUGGGAGUUCUUAAGUAAUAUGAUUAAUUGAACUUAAAUUUAUCAUGAACUUAGUCCUGGUAGUAUUAGCAUAUCUAUGUUGUAGAUCAAUAGCUCGCGUUUAGCUCCCCUGUUUUAUUUUUGAUAUGUUCCUAGAGAAAACUAAGUUGAAAGAUGUUAGUAGCAAUGAUGCGGAUUGGAUCCGUGAUCUGAGGUUUAUCCUCAUUGCUGCAUAGAAGAAUUAUGUCCUUGAUGCACCACUAGGUGACAAACCUAUUGCAGGAGCAGAUGCAGAUGUUAUGAACAUUUGGCUAGCUCAAUAUGAUAACUACUUGAUAGUUUAGUGCACCAUGCUUAAAUGGCUUAGAAUCGGGACUUCAAAAACGUUUUGAACGUCAUGGACCAUAUGAGAUGUUCCAGGAUUUGAAGUUAAUAUUUCAAGUAAAUACCCGAGUUGAGAGAUAUGAAGUCUCCAGCAAGUUCUAUAGCUAAAAGAUGGAGGAGAAUAGAUCAAGCAGUGAGCAUGUGCUCAGAUUGUCUGGGUACUACAAUCGCUUGAAUCAAGUGGGAGUUAAUCUUCCAGAUAAAAUAGUGAUUGACAGAAUUCUCUAGUCACCAUCACCAAGUUAGUAGAACUUCGUGAUGAACUAUAAUAUGCAAGGGAUAACGGAAACGAUUCCCAAGCUCUUCGUGAUGCUGAAAUCGACGAAGGUAGAAGUCAAGAAAAGCAUCAAGUGUUGAUGGUAAACAAAACCACUAGUUUUAAGUAAAGGGACAAAGGGAAGAAAGGGGAACUUCAAGAAGAACGGCAACCAAGUUGCCGCUCAAGUGAAAAACCCAAGUCUGGACCUAAGCCUGAAACUGAGUGCUUCUACUGCAAAGGGACUGGUCACUGGAAGCGUAACUACCCCAAGUAAUUGGCGGAUAAGAAGGAUGGCAAAGUGAACAUAGGUAUAUUUGAUAUACAUGUUAUUGAUGUGUACUUUACUAGUGUUUAUAGCAACCCCUCAGUAUUUGAUACUAGUUCAGUUGCUAAGAAUAGUAACUCGAAACGGGAGUUGCAGAAUGAACAGAGACUAGUUAAGGGUGAAGUGACGAUGUGUAUUGGAAAUGGUUCCAGGAUUGAUAUGAUCAUCAUCGCACACUCUCUAUACUUUCGGGAUUAGUGUUAAACCUAAAAUAAAUGUUAUUUAGUGGUUGCGUUACGCAUGAAUAUGAUUGGAUCAUGUUUAUUGCAAUACGGUUAUUCAUGUAAGUUAGAGAAUAAUUGAUGUUCUGUUUACAUGAAUAAAACCUUCUAUGGUCAUACACCCAAUGAAAAUGGUUUUUUGGAUCUCGAUCGUGGUGAUACACAUUUUCAUACUAUUGAAGCCAAAAUAUGCAAAGUUAAUAAUGAUAGUACAACUUAUUUGUGGCACUGCCGUUUAGGUUAUAUUGGUGUAAAGCGCAUGAAGAAAAUUCAUGUUGAUGGGCUUUUGGAAUCACUUGAUUAUGAAUCAGUUGAUGCUUGCGAACCAUGCCUCAUGGGCAAGAUGACUAAGACUCCGUUCUCCGAAACAAUGGAGCGAGCAACAGAUUUGUUGGAAAUCAUACAUACCGAUGUUUGUGGUCCGUUGAGUAUUGAGGCUCACGGCAGGUAUCAUUAUUUUCUGAUCCUCACAGAUGAUUUGAGCAGAUAUGAGUAUAUCUACUUGAUGAAACACAAGUCUAAAACAUUUGAAAAAGUUCAAAGAAUUUCAGAGUGAAGUGGAGAAUCAUCGUAACAAAAAUAAAAGUUUUUACGAUAUGAUCGCAGAAGUAAAAUAUUUAAGUUACGAGUUUGGCCUUCAGUUAAAACAAUGUGAAAUAGUUUCACUACUCACGCCACCUGGAACACCACAGUAUAAUGGUGUGUCCGAACGUCGUAACCCUACUUUAUUAGAUAUGGUGCGAUCUAUGAUGUCUCUUACCAAUUUACCACUAUCGUUUUGGGUUUAUGCAUUAGAGACAGCUACAUUCACAUUAAAAAGGGCACCAUCUAAAUCUGUUGAGACGACACCGUAUGAACUAUGGUUUGGCAAGAAACCUAAGCUGUCGUUUCUUAAGGUUUGAGGUUGCAAUGCUUAUGUGAAAAAGUUUCAACCUGAUAAGCUCAAACCCAAAUCGGAGAAGUGUGUCUUCAUAGGAUACCCAAAAGAAAAAUUUGGGUACACCUUCUAUCACAGACCCGAAGGCAAGAUAUUCAGUGCUGAGAAUGGAUCCUUUCUAGAGAAGGAGUUUCUCUCGAAAGAAGUGAGUGGGAGGAAAGUAGAACUUGAUGAGGUAACUGUACCUGCUCCCUUAUUGGAAAGUAGUUCAUCAUAGAUAUCUGUUCCUGUGACUACUACACCAAUUAGUGAGGAAGCUAAUGAUGAUGAUCAUGUAACUUUAGAUCAAGUUACUACCAAACCUUAUAGGUAAACCAAAGUGAGGUCCACACCAGAGUGGUAUGAUAAUCCUGUUCUGGAGGUCAUUUUACUUGACCAUGACGAACCUACGAACUAUGAGGAAGCGAUGAUGAGCCCAGAUUCCGCGAAAUGGCUUGAGGCCAUGAAAUCUGAUAUGAGAUCCAUGUAUAAGAACAAAGUAUGGACUUUGAUUGACUUGUCCAAAGAUCGGCGAGACAUUGAGAUUAAAUGGAUCUUCAAGAGGAAGACGGACGCUGAUAGUAGUGUUACUAUCUACAAAGCUAGAAUUGUCGCAAAAGGUUUUCGACAAGUUCAAGGUGUUGACUAAGAUGAGAGUUUCUCACUCGUAUCUAUGCUUAAAGUCUGUCCGAAUCAUGUUAGCAAUUGCCACAUUUUAUGAAAUCUGGCAAAUGGAUAAACAAAACUACAUUCCUUAAUGGAUUUAUUAAAGAAGAGUUGUAUAUGAUGCAACCAAAAGGUUUUGUCAAUCCUAAAGGUACUAACAAAAUAUGCAAGCUCCAGCGAUCCAUCUAUGGACUGGUGCAAGCAUCUCGGAGUUGGAAUAUACGCUUUGAUAAGUUGAUCAAAGCAUAUAGUUUUAUACAGACUUGCGGUGAAGCCUGUAUUUACAAGAAAGUGAGUGGGAGCACUACAGCAUUUUUGAUAAGUAUAUGUGAAUGACAUAUUGUUGAUCAGAGAUAAUGUAGAAUUAUUCUGCAAAGCAUAAAGGAAUGUUUGAAAGGAGUUUUUCAAAGAAAGACCUCGGUGAAGUUGCUUACAUAUUGAGCAUCAAGAUCUAUAGAGAUAGAUCAAGACGCUGGAUAAGUUUUUCAAUGAGUACAUACCUUGACAAGAUUUUGAAGUAGUUCAAAAUGGAACAAACAAAGAAGGAGUUCUUGCAUGUGUUACAGGGUGUGAAGUUGAGUAAGACUCAAAACCCAACCACGACAGAAGAUAGAGAGAGAGUGAAAGUCAUUCCCUAUGCCUCGGCCAUAGGUUCUAUAAAGUAUGCCAUGCUGUGUACCAGACCUAUUGUAUACCCUGCCCUGAGUUUGGCAAGGGAGUACAAUAGUGAUCUAGGAGUAGAUCACUGGACAUUGGUCAAAAUUAUCCUUAGUGGAAUAAGGAUAUGUUUCUCGAUUAUGGAGGUGACAAAAGGUUCGUCAUAAAGGGUUACGUCAAUGCAAGUUUUGACACUGAUCCAGAUGACUCAAAGUCUCAAUCUGGAUAAUAUUGAAAGUGGGAGCAAUUAGCUAGAGUAGCUCCGUGCAGAGCAUUGUUGACAUAGAAAUUUGCAAAAUACAUAUGGAUCUGAAUGUAGAAGACCCGUUGACUAAACUUCCCUCACAAGCAAAACAUGAUCACACCUUAGUACUCUUUGGGUAUUAAUCACAUAGCGAUGUGAACUAGAUUAUUGACUCUAGUAAACCCUUUGGGUGUUGUUCACAUGACGAUGUGAACUAUGGGUGUUAAUCACAUGGUGAUGUGAACUAUUGAUGUUAAAUCACAUGGCGAUGUGAACUAGAUUAUUGACUCUAGUGCAAGUGGGAGGCUGAAGGAAAUAUGCCCUAGAGGCAAUAAUAAAGUUAUUAUUUAUUUCCUUAUAUCAUGAUAAAUGUUUAUUAUUCAUGCUAGAAUUGUAUUAACCAGAAACAUAAUACAUGUGUGAAUACAUAGACAAACAGUAUGUCACUAGUAUGCCUCUACUUGACUAGCUCGUUGAAUCAAAGAUGGUUAAGUUUCCUAGCCAUAGACAUGAGUUGUCAUUUGAUUAACGGGAUCACAUCAUUAGAGAAUGAUGUGAUUGACUUGACCCAUUCCGUUAGCAUGGCACUUGAUCAUUUAGUUUGUUGCUAUUGCUUUCUUCAUGACUUAUACAUGUUCCUAUGACUAUGAGAUUAUGCAACUCCCGUUUACCGGAGGAACACUUUUUGAGCUACCGAACGUCACAACGUAACUCGGUAUUAUAAAGGUGCUCUACAGGUGUCUCCAAAGGUACUUGUUGGGUUGGCGUAUUUCGAGAUUAGGAUUUGUCACUUCGAUUGUCGGAGAGGUAUCUCCGGGCCCACUCGGUAAUGCACAUCACUAUAAGCCUUGUAAGCAUUGUAACUAAUGAGUUAGUUGCGGGAUGAUGUGUUACGGAACGAGUAAACAGACUUGCUGGUAACGAGAUUGAACUAGGUAUUGAGAUACCGACGAUCGAAUCCCGGGCAAGUAACAUACCGAUGACAAAGUGAACAAUGUAUGUUGUUAUGCGGUUUGACCGAUAAAGAUCUUCGUAGAAUAUGUAGGAGCCAAUAUGAGCAUCCAGGUUCCGCUAUUGGUUAUUGACUGGAGACGUGUCUCGGUCAUGUCUACAUAGUUCUCGAACCCGUAGGGUCCGCACGCUUAAAGUUCGAUGACGGUUAUAUUAUGAGUUUAUGUGUUUUGAUGUAGCGAAGGAGUUCAGAGUCCCAGAUGAGAUCGGUGACAUGACGAGAAGUCUCGAAAUGGUCGAGACGUAAAGAUCGAUAUAUUGGACGACUAUAUUCAGACAUCGGAAAGGUUCCGAGUAAUUUGGAUAUUUUCGGGAGUACCGAGGAGUUACGGGAAUUCGUAUUGGGCCUUAAUGGGCCAUACGGGAAAGGAGAGAAAGGCCUCAAAGGGUGGCCGCACCCCUCCCAAUGGGCUGGUCCGAAUUGGACUAGGGAGGGGGCGCCCCCUUCCUUCCUUCUCCUUUUCCCUUCCCUUUCCUUCCCUCCUACUCCUACUACUUGGAAGGGCUCCUAGUUCUACUAGGAAAGGGGAAAUCCUACUCCCGGUCGGAGUAGGACUCCCCUAGGGCGCGCCAUAAAGAGGGCCGGCCCUCCCCCUCCUCCACUCCUUUAUAUACAGGGGCAUGGGCACCCCAAAGACACAACAAUUAAUCUCUUGAUAUCUUAGCCGUGUGCGGUGCCCCCCUCCACCAUAAUCCACCUCAGUCAUAUCGUAGCGGUGCUUAGGCGAAGCCCUGCAUCGGUAGAACAUCAUCAUCGUCACCACGCCGUCGUGCUGACGAAACUCUCCCUCAACACUCGGCUGGAUCGGAGUUCGAGGGACAUCAUCGAGUUGAACAUGUGCAGAACUCGGAGGUGCCGUGCGUUUGGUACUUGAUCGGUCGGAUCGUGAAGACGUACAACUACAUCAACCACGAUGUGCUAACGCUUCCGCUUUCGGUCUACGAGGGUACGUGGAAAACACUCUCCCCUCUCGUUGCUAUGCAUCACCAUGAUCUUGCGUGUGCGUAGGAUUUUUUUUUGAAAUUACUACGUUCCCCAACACCAACUUAGUCCGAUGCACGUGCACUAUUAUUAUUAUCCACACUAUUCGGUCGUGCAAGUGAUAGGCAAUAAUGAUGAUAUAUGAUGAACUUAUUGAGAUGAGAAAAACUGGUAUGAACUCGACCUCUCUUGUUUUUGUAAAUGUGAUUAGUUCAUCGUUUCUGAUUCAGCCUAUUAUGAAUAAACAUGUUUGCAAUGACAAUUAGAGAUUAUAGUUGCUUAUGCCAUGCUUAAUUAGCUAGAAGCUUAUAAUGGUUUACCUUGUGUGCCAACAUGCUAUUAAAAUGGUUGUGAUGUGGUAUGAUAGGGUGGUAUCCUCUUUUGAACGAUUCGAGUGGCUUGACUUGGCACAUGUUCACGCAUGUAGUUGAAACAAAAUCAACAUAGCCUCUACGAUAUUCAUGUUCAUGGUGCAUUAUAUCCUACUCAUGCUUGCAUUCGGUGUUGAUUAAUUUUAAUGCAUGUUCAUGACUAUUGUCGCUCUCUAGCUGGUCGCUUCCUAGUCUUUUUCUAGCCUUCACUUGUACUAAGCGGGAAUACUGCUUGUGCAUCCAACUCCAUAAACCCCAAAGUUGUUCCAUAUGAGUCCACCAUACCUGCCUAUAUACGGUAUCUACCUGCCGUUCCAAGUAAAUUUGUAUGUGCCAAACUCUAAUCCUUCAAAUAAACAUUCUAUUUUGUAUGCUCGAAUAGCUCAUGUAUCAACUAGGGAUGUCUGUAUCUUCCAUGCUAGGCGGGUUAUUCUCAAGAGGAGUGGACUCCGCUCCUCACUCACAAGAAAAUGGCUGGUCAUCGGGAUGCCCAGUCCCAUGCUUUAUGCAAAUCAAAUCAAAAUAACUGCAAACAAAACUCCCCCGGGACUCUUGUUAGUUGGAGGCACUCGUUGUUUCGAGCAAGCCAUGGAUUGAUGCUUGUUGGUGGAGGGGGAUUAUAAACUUUACCAUUCUAUUUGGGAACCACCUAUAAUGUGUGUAGCAUGGAAGAUAUCGAGAUCUCUCGGUUGUUAUGUUCACAAAGAAAGUAUACUGCUCAAAAUAUUAUUCAUAUCUAUUUCAAAACUGAGCUCUGGCACCUCUACAAGUCCCUGCUUCCCUCUGCGAAGGGCCUAUCCAUUUACUUUUAUGUUGAGUCAUCAUCCUCUUAUUAAAAAGCACCAGUUGGAGAGCACCGUUGUCAUUUGCAUUCAUUACUGUAAGUUUAUAUUGAGUAUGACUUGACUGGAUCUCUUUUACCAUGAAUUACAAUGUCUAUUCAGUCCUUGAUCUUUAAAGGUGCUCUGCAUUUAUGUUUUGCGGUCUCAGAAAGGGCUAGCGAGAUACCAUCUUGUUAUAUCAUAUCAUGAUUAUUUUGAGAAAGUGUUGUCAUCCGAGAUUUAUUAUUAUUGCUCGCUAGUUGAUUAUGUCAUUGAUAUGAGUAAACAUGAGACCAAAGUGUUACUGUGAUAUGGUUAGUUCAUAAUCUUUGCUGAAAACAUGAAUGUUGGCUUUACAUAUUUACAACAAUAAGAGCAAACAGAGUUUGUAAAAGUUUUUCUUUAUCACUUUCAGUUUAUCAACUGAAUUGCUUGAGGACAAGCAAAGGUUUAAGCUUGGGGGAGUUGAUACAUCUCCGUCGUAUCUACUUUUCCAAACACUUUUGCCCUUGUUUUGGACUCUAACUUGCAUGAUUUGAAUGGAACUAACCCGGACUGACGCUGUUUUCAGCAGAAUUGCCAUGGUGUUAUUUUUGUGCAGAAAUAAAAGUUCUCGGAAUGACCUGAAAAUCAACGGAGAAUUAUUUUGGAAUAUAUAAAAAAUACUAGAAGAAAGAUCCACGUCAGGGGGCCUCCACCUGUCCACGAGGGUGGGGGCGCGCCCUACCCCCCUGGGCGCGCCCCCUGCCUCAUGGGCCCCCUGACGCUCCACCGACCUCAACAUUGACUCCAUAUAUUCACUUUCGGGGAGAAAAAAACCAGAGAGAAGGAUUCAUCGCAUUUUACGAUACGGAGCCGCCACCAAGCCCUAAACUCUCUCGGGAGGGCUGAUCUGGAGUCCGUUCGGGGCUCCGGAGAGGGGAAUCCGUCGCCAUCAUCAUCAUCAACCUUCCUCCACCACCAAUUUUAUGAUGCUCACCUCCAUGUGUGAGUAAUUCCAUUGUAGGCUUGCUGGACGAUGAUGGGUUGGAUAAGAUUUAUCAUGUAAUCGAGUUAGUUUUGUUAGGGUUUUAUCCCUAGUGUCCACUAUGUUCUGAGAUUGAUGUUGCUAUGACUUUGCUAUGCUUAAUGCUUGUCACUAGGGCCCGAGUGCCAUGAUUUCAUAUCUGAACCUAUUAUGGUUUCAUCAAUAUAUGAGAGUUCUUAAUCCUAUCUUGCAAGUCCAUAGUCACCUAUUAUGUGUUAUGAUCCGGCAACCCCGAAGUGACAAUAAUCGGGACCACUCCCAGUGAUGACCGUAGUUUGAGGAGUUCACGUAUUCACUAUGUGUUAAUGCUUUGUUCCGGUACUCUAUUAAAAGGAGGCUUUAAUAUCCCUUAGUUUGCAUUAGGACCCCGCUGCCACGGGAGGGUAGGACAAAAAAUGUCAUGCAAGUUUUUUUCCAUAAGCACCUAUGACUAUAUUCGGAAUACAUGCCUACAUUACAUUGAUGAACUGGAGCUAGUUCUGUGUCACCCUAGGCUAUGACUGCUACAUGAUCGAUCGCAUCCGGCAUAAUUCUCCAUCACCGAUCCAAUGUGAUAGGUGGGAACCCGAUGAACGAGUUCACGCCCGAGGGUGGCCCGAUCUUCAUGUCGUAGGAUCGAAUCGGGAGGGAUAACUAGCUGCAAGCAGCCGGGAUAGCUAGCUUUAUACCUGCCAAGGUUGGAUGCAACCAAUACGUUGGGGAUGGCUGACCGAAGCUAUAAGAACUCCAACCCGCUGUCCGAACAAUCACAGAACCACAAACCGGGACUAAUCCACACAAAACGGCCGGAACCGUAGAGCAUGAACUAGGGGGAACCAGAGGCUCCUUCUCGCGAAUCCGAAUGAACUCACAUGAGCAAAGGUAGCAAGAUCUAUCGGAUCUUUCUAGCAGUCUUGCUGCAUAAGCUUGUAGUUGAAUGGUUUAACAAAAGGUUUCCUAGAGGAUGGGGGAGAUGGGGUUUUAUAGCAAGGACAACCCCCCUUGGCUAGGUGUGAAAGUGGUUUCAAAAGUAAACAGGUUUGCAUGACUUUCUUGGGGGAAUAAGCAGUCAACUUUGGGAUUUGUUGGAGAGCUCCUCGGAAAUUCGCGAAGCCUUGAUAGCCUGAACACCUUCCACGAGAAUGACUACAACUUUUGACUCACAACUCCAAAUGAUGUGAGGUUUUUUGCAUUGGAAAGAUAAUGUGAUGGAGUUUCUGGUGAUGUACCCCUAUGGCCCCGUCUCUCCACCAUAUGGGUGUGGCAAAAAGAAACAUCAGAGGUAAAAUAUGACAGCAUCAGCUUCACUUGAAACUUGUUUUCUCCAAACUUUUUCCUCCAAAGCGGUUGCUCCAAAAGCUCAUAGGUUGUUGGAUUUCUUCCAUGUGAUACCUAAGUUCAACCAACAACAAUGAAGAUGAAAGUGCAGCCAUUUGGUCAAGAUUGUGGUAUGAACUUAAGUUAGCAUUCACCUGGCCAUAUGUUUGCUUGAUUCGGCUUAGUAAUUAUUUCCAACUAAAUUGUGCACUUUUCUGAAAUGUCAUGUAUGAUGUACCCAUGUGCUCAUCAUCCUCCCUCCCUUGAUGAAGAUUCGUCCUCGACUCUCUUUGAUCUACAAAAGAUAAGUAGAAGGGAAGUAGAUAAUAUCCAUGCAAAGAAAUAAUGCAAUCCUCAUUUGUAGCUUUCACCUUUGAAUUGUGUUGCAUUUGAUCAUGUACUUGUUUGUCAUGACUUGGAGUUUGUUCAGGGAUGAUCGGUGUUGUUUCAAUGAUUGAGAUGUCCUUAUCAUCCCUCCUCUUUUGAAAAGGAGUCGUCCUCGAGUCUACCUGGUCUUCACACAAAAGAAAGUAGGGCAAGACCAAAUCAUAAUGCAAAUGUUCCAUGAUAUGAAGAAUUUUAGUUUCCAGCUUUGCUAUCAUAUGGACAGUGCCAACAUGAUGUUUUGUUCGACUUAGGAGUUCCUUCCAGCAAAUAUUUUCAUGGGGAACAAAUUUAUAACCAACUAUGAGCCUCUCCAUAUCAUCCUCCCUCUCUUGGAGAAAAUUCAUCCUCGACUUCGUUUGCUCUACAAAAUUAUGGCACGAGGACAAUACAAAAUAACUAGGAAAAGAAAAUGAUGAAUAAUCACGUGCAACAUUCAGUUUUAUUGGAUCUUUAAUAGCUUCUUCAAGAUUAGCAAAAUCACAUUGCUAGAUGGAUGAUGUACCAAACAAUUUUUCUCUAAUCUUAUCACGCCAUUGCUUCAAAAACUCAUAAGUGCAUACCUCUGGCUUCCUCAAAAUGGAAGAUCCUUUUUAUUUUACCUCAUUGAGUACUUGAAUGCCUUUCUGAAAAUCAAUCUUCACACAUGCACCUUCUAUAGUGGUGUUCCAAGUGCACCACAAUUGUUUCUGGAUCUCGUCCUCCCAUCGUUUCAAGAGAGCUAAUAAGUAUGACUUUUGCAUCUGCACAUAUUGUAAAGAAAGAUAAUUUUGUGAAAGGUUAGUAAUUGAAUACUCCUCUCUCUCUUUUCAUUUGGUGUAUCACUCAUUUCUUUCAUAUUAUGGGGAAACACCUCAAGCUCAUGUUUGGUGGACUCACACAACUCAUUAAUCUUCUCUCUUGGAUGAUGUGGUAUAUUAUGUUGUGGUUCACUCAUCUCUCUAAUGUGGUGUGGAAUGAUCUCAAUCUCACAUUUUGUGGACUCACUCACCUCACUUACCUUAUCACUCUCAAUAUAUGGAAUUGUGGAAAGUGGACACUCUUCCUCACAUUUGGUGGAGUCACUCAAAUCAUUUUUCUUUUCACUCUCAAGUGGUGGGAUUUUUGAAAGUGGACACUCUUCCUCACUUUUGGUGGAGUCACUCAACUCAUUUUUCUUUUCACUCUCAAGUGGUGGGAUUUUUGAAAGUGGACACUCUUCCUCACUUCUGGUGGAGUCACUCAGCUUGCUUUUCUUAUAACUCACAAGUUGUGGGAUUUUGGAUUGUGGACUCUCUUCCUCACAUGGAUUUUGUGGCACAUGUUUCUUGGAUGUUGAGAGAAUAGUGGUGGUCAAGAUGCCAACAUUAGGAGUGAGCUUCUUAGGUGAACAUGGGCUAUGAAUCACCGGAGCCGCUCCGUCAACCACGGUCAUGCUUUGCGGUCGGUCGUCGUUGUGUUGACGGGUGCCACAACUUCUCCCUCGAGCAUGACAUCCUUGUUGCACUUCAGGUGUAGCAGCAACACCAUGCCUGGGAACAUUUCCUCGUCGCCGCACUACUUGAGUAGUAGUGACACACCCCCAAGCAGCAACCUCAAGCCCUGGAGCAUGUCUUCUUUGCUGCACUUCAUGAGCAACAGGGUAUUGUCGGUGUCGAACCCUAUCACCACCUGUUGGAAGACGCUCGUGAAGCAUCCUCUCCAUGCCUCGUAGUAUGUUGUUCUUGAGUUGUUGCACAUCAGCGCGGGUGGCCAAACAAUUUCCUUCUCCAUGAUUAUUUCAACGAACACUUGGUGUAGAUCCUGCCAUGUUAGUAGGGCUAAAAAGUGGAAUAUGAUAAUUUUGUGGAAUCACACAACCUCACCUCUUACUCACCAAAGUUCUUAUGAGUUCACAUCAGAUCGUGCUUCUCUCGGAUGUGUUAAAGCGAUUGAAAGACAGGGAUCAAAGAACUAGCUUCGGUUUUUGGUGGAUCUCGGUGGGGUAAACAAAAAAAGGGCUUGUGCUGAAAUCAAGUUGAUGCAAAUCAAGAAAAUAUGGGGAUAGAUCUGCUGCACCUUUGCACCAAGAUUGGAUAACACACAACACACAACACACAACACACAAGCUUCUGAAAUUUUUUCUACCAAGCUGAAACUUUUGGAUCUUACACAACACUUUCUUUUUCUCUUUUGACUUUUUUUUUGCCACUCUUUUCUUUCUCUCUUUGAUUUUUUUGCCACUUUUUUCCUCUCUUUGAUUUUUUUGCCACUUUCUUUUCUCUCUUUUUCCAAAGCACAACAACCAAAUCUGAAAACAACUAUGAAGAUGAACUUGGUGCAGAUCUAAAAUGAAGAACAUGCAAGGUAUGCAACAACAAGAUCUCGGCACCAACAAGGCUUGGAUUUAUUUUUGGUGGGGCUUUGGACUUCUAGGACAGAAAAUAUAGCAUGAAAAACACUCAAUCUAAAGGGAUGAUAGCAAGAUAAAUUUGGAUGACAGAUCCUACCGUGUUAACGAAGGCUCUAAUACCAGAUGAUAGGUGGGAACCCAACGAACGAGUUCAUGCCCGAGGGUGGCCCGAUCUUCACGUCGUAGGAUCGAAUCGGGAGGGAUAACUAGCUGCAAGUAGUCAGGAUAACUAGCUUUAUACCUGCCAAGGUUGGAUGCAACCCAUACGUUGGGGAUGGCUGACCGAAGCUACAAGAACUCCAACCCGCUGUCCGAACAAUCGCAGAACCACAAACCGAGACUAAUCCACACAAAACGGCCGGGACCGUAGAACACGAACUAGGGGGAACCAGAGGCUCCUUCUCGCGAAUCCGAAUGAACUCACAAGAGCAAAGGUAGCAAGAUCUCUCGGAUCUUUCUAGCAAUCUUGCUGCAUAAACUUGUAGCUGAAUGGUUUGACAAAAGGUUUCCUAAAGGAUGGGGGAGAUGGGGUUUUAUAGCAAGGAAAACCACCCUUGGCUAGGUGUGAAAAUGGUUUCAGAAGUAAACAUGUUUGCAUGACUUUCUUGGGGGAAUAAGCAGACAACUUUGGGAGUUGUUGGAGAGCUCCUCGGAAAUUCGUGAAGCCUUGACAGCCUGAACACCUUCCACGAGAAUGACUACAACUUUUGACUCACAACUCCAAAUGAUGUGGGGUUUUUUGCAUUGGAAAGAUAAUUUGAUGAAGCUUCUGGUGAUGUACCCAUAUGGCCCCGUCUCUCCACCAUAUGAGUGUGGCACAAAGAAACAUCAGAGAUAAAAUCUGACAGCAUCAGCUUCACUUGAAACUUGUUUUCUCCAAACUUUUUCCUCAAAAGCGGUUGCUCCAAAAGCUCAUAGGUUGUUGGAUUUCUUCCAUGUGAUACCUAAGUUCAACCAACAACAAUGGAGAUGAAAGUGCAGCCAUUUGGUCAAGAUUGUGGUAUGAACUUAAGUUAGCGUUUACCUGGCCAUGUGUUUGCUUGAUUCGGCUUAGUAAUUGUUUCCAACUAAAUUGUGCACUUUUCUGAAAUGUCAUAUAUGAUGUACCCAUGUGCUCAUCACAAUGCCUACGAGCUUUUCAUAUAUUGUUCUUUGCUUAUUUACUUUUCCGUUGCUACUAUUACAAUCACUACAAAACCCAAAAAUAUUACUUUUGCUACCGUUACCUUUUGCCACCGUUACCACUACUAUCAUAUUACUUUGCUACUAAAUACCUUACUGCAGAUAUUAAGUUUUCAGGUGUGGUUGAAUUGACAACUCAGCUACUAAUACUUGAGAAUAUUCUUUGGCUCCCAUUGUGUCAAAUCAAUAAAUUUGGGUUGAAUACUCUACCCUUGAAAACUAUUGUGAUCCCUAUACUUGUGGGUUAUCAAGACCCAAGCCUAAAACUGAGUGCUUCUACUGCAAAGGAAAUGGUCACUGGAAGUGGAACUGCCCUACAUACAUGGCGGGUAAGAAGGAUGGCAAAGUGAACGAAAGUAUAUAUUUGAUAUACAUGUUUGAUGUGUACUUUACUAGUGUUUAUAACAACACCUCAGUAUUUGAUACUGGUUUAGUUAUUAAGAGUAGUAACUCGAAACGGAAGUUGCAAAAUAAACAGAGACUAGUUAAGGGCGAGGUGAUGAUGUGAGUUGGAAGUGAUUCCAAGGUUUAAAUGAUCACCAUCGCACACUCCCUUUACCUUCGGGGUUAGUGUUGAACCUAAAAUAAAUGUUAUUUGAUGUUUGCAUAAAGCAUAAUAUGAUUGGAUCAUGUUUAUUGCAAUACAGUUAUUCAUUUAAGUCAAGGAUAAUUGUUAUUCUGUUUACAUGAAUAAAACCUUCUGAGGUCAUACACCCAAUGUGAAUGGUUUGUUGAAUCUCGAUCGUAGAAAUACAGAUAUUCAUAAUAUUGAAGCCAAAAGAUGCAAAGUUAAUAAUGAUAGUGCAACUUAUAUGCGGCACUGUAGUUUAGGUCAUAUUGGUGUAAAGCGCAUGAAGAAACUCCAUGCUGAUGGGAUUUUGGAAUCACUUGGUUAUGAAUCAUUUGAUGCUUGCGAACCAUGCCUCGUGGGCAAGAUGACUAAAACUCCGUUCUCCGGAACAAUGGAGCAAGCAACUGACUUAUUGGAAAUAAUACAUAUUGAUGUAUGCAAUCCGAUGAGUGUUGAGGCUCGCGGCAGGUAUUGUUAUUUUCUGAUCCUCACAGAUGAUUUGAGCAGAUAUGGGUAUAUCUACUUGAUGAAACAUAAGUCUGAAACAUUUAAAAAGUUCAAAGAAUUUCAGAGUGAAGUGGAAAAUCAUCGUAACAAGAAAAUAAAGUUUCUAUGAUCUGAUCGUGGAGGAGAAUAUUUGAGUUACGAGUUUGGUCUUUAUUUGAAACAAUGCGGAAUAGUUUCACAACUCAUGCCACCUGGAACACCACAGCGUAAUGGUGUGUCUGAACGUCAUAACCGUACUUUAUUAGAUAUGGUCAUAUGGUGAAAUCUAUGAUGUCUCUUACUGAUUUAUCACUAUCGUUUUGGGGUUAUGCAUUAGAGACAGCUGCAUUCACGUUAAAUAGGGCAUCAUCUAAAUCCAUUGAGAAGACACCAUAUGAAUUGUGGUUUAGCAAGAAACCUAAGUUGUCGUUUCUUAAAGUUUGGGGUUGUGAUGAUUAUGUGAAUAAGUUUCAGCCUGAUAAGCUCAAACCCAAAUUGGAAAGGUGCGUCUUCACAGGAUACCCAAAAGAAACUGUUGGGUACACCUUCUAUCACAGAUCCGAAAGGCAAGAUCUUUGUUGCUAAGAGUGGAUCCUUUCUAGAGAAGAAGUUUCUCUUGAAAGAAGUGAUUGGGAGGAAUGUAAAACUUGAUGAGGUAAUUGUAUCUUCUCCCGAAUUGGAAAGUAGUUUAUCACAGAAAUUAGUACUAGUGAUUCCUACACCAAUUAGUGAGGAAGUUAAUGAUGAUGAUCAUGAAACUUCAUAUCAAGUUACUACCGGACCUCGUAGGUCAACCAGAAUAUGUUCUGCACCAAAGUGGUACGGUAAUCCUGUUCUGGAGGUCAUGUUACUUGACCAUGACGAACCUAUAAACUAUCAGAAAGCGAUGAUGAGCCCAGAUUCCGCGAAAUGGCUUGAAACCAUGAAAUCUGAGAUGAGAUCCAUGUAUUAGAACAAAGUAUGGACUUUGAUUGACUUGCCCGUUGAUCGGUGAGCCAUUAAGAAUAAAUGGAUUUUCAAGAGUAAGACGGACACUGAUAGAAGUGUUACUAUCUACAAAGCUCAAAUUGUCGCAAAAGGUUUUUGACAUGUUCAAGAUGUUGACUACGAUGAGAUUUUCUCACUCGUAGCGAUGCUUAAGUCUGUCCGAAUCAUGUUAGCAAUUGCCACAUUUUAUGAAAUCUGGCAAAUGGAUGUCAAAACAACAUUCCUUAAUGGAUUUCUUAAAGAAGAGUUGUAUAUGAUGCAACAAGAAGGUUUUGUCAAUCCUAAAGGUGCUAACAAAGUGAGCAAGCUCCAGCAAUCCAUCUAUGGACUGGUGCAAGCAUCUCGAAGUUGGAAUAUAUGCUUUGAUAAAGUGAUCAAAGCAUAUGGUUUUAUACAGACUUGCGGUGAAGCCUGUAUUUACAAGAAAGUGAGUGGGAGCAGUGCAGCCUUUCUGAUAAGUAUAUGUGAAUGACAUAUUGUUGAUCGAAAAUGAUGUAGAAUUGUCUGGAAAGCAUAAAGGAGUGUUUGAAAGGAUUUUUUUCAAAGAAAGGCCUCGGUGAAGCUGCUUACAUAUUGGGCAUCAAGAUCUAUAGAGAUAGAUCAAGACGCUUGAUAAAUUUUUCAAUAAGUACAUACCUUGACAAGUUUUUGAACUAGUUCAAAAUGGAACAGUCAAAGAAGGAGUUCUUGCCUGUGUUGCAAGGUGUGAAGUUGAGUAAAGACUCAAAACCCGACCAUGGCAGAAAAUAGAAAGAGAAUGAAAAGUCAUUCCCUAUGCCUCAGUCAUAGGCUCUAUAAAGUAUGUUAUGCUGUGUACCAGUCCUAUUGUAUACCUUAGCAUGAUUUUGGCAAGGGAGUACAAUAGUGAUCUAGCAGUAGAUCACUGGACAUCGGUCAACAUUAUUCUUAGAUGACUAAGGAAAUAUUUCUCAGUUAUGGAGGUGAUAAAAGAGUUCAAUGUAAAGAGUUACGUCGAUACAAGCUUUUGACACCGAUCUAAAUGACUCUAAGUCUCGAUCUAGAUACAUAUUGAAAGUGGGAGCAAUUAGCUACAGUAGCUCCGUGCAAAGUAUUUUAGACAUGGAAAUUUGCUAAAUACAUAUGGAUCUGAAUGUUGCAGACCCGUAAACUAAACUUCUCUCAUGAGCAAAACAUGAUCACUCUUUGGGUGUUAAUCACAUAGCGAUAUGAACUAGAUUAUUGACUCUAGUAAACCCUUUGGGUGUUAGUCACAUGAAGAUGUGAACUAAUCACAUAAAGAUGUGAACUAUUGGUGUUAAAUCACAUGAUGAUGUGAACUAGAUUAUUGACUCUAGUGCAAGUGGGAGACUGAAGGAAAUAUGCCCUAGAGCUAGAGGCAAUAAUAAAGUUGUUAUUUAUAUUUCCUUAUAUCAUGAUAAAUGUUUAUUAUUCAUGCUAGAAUUGUAUUAACCGGAAACUUAGUACAUGUGUGAAUACAUGGACAAACAGAGUGUCCCUAGUAUGCCUCUACUUAACUAGCUCGUUAAUCAAAGAUGGUUAAGUUUCCUAGCCAUGGACAUGUGUUGUUAUUUGAUCCAUGAGAUCACAUCAUUAGAGAAUGAUGUGAUGGACAAGACCCAUCUGUUAUCUUAGCAUAAUGAUCAUUCAGUUUUAUUGCUACUGAUUUCUUCAUAACUUAUACAUGUUCCUCUGACUAUGAGAUUAUGCAACUCUCGGAUAACGGAGGAACACCUUGUGUGCUAUCAAACGUCACAACAUAACUGGGUGGUUAUAGAGAUGUUCUACAAGUGUCUCCGAUGGUGUUUGUUGAUUUGGCAUAGAUCGAGAUUAGGAUUUGUCACUCCAUGUAUCAGAGAGGUAUCUCUGGGCCCUCUCGGUAAUGCACAUCACUCUAAGCCUUGCAAGCAUUGUGACUAAUGAGUUAGUUGCACCUUGUGCGCUAUCAAACGUCACAACGUAACUGGGUGAUUAUAAAGAUGCUCUAUAGGUGUCUUCAAUGGUGUUUGUUGAGUUGGCAUAGAUCGAGAUUAGGAUUUGUCAUUCCGUGUAUCGGGGAGGUAUCUCUAGCCUUCUCGGUAAUGCACAUCACUCUAAGCCUUGCCAGCAUUGUGACUAAUGAGUUAGUUGCGGGAUGAUGCAUUACGGAAUGAGUAAAGAGACUUGCCGGUAACGAGAUUGAACUAGGUAUGAGGAUACCGACGAUCGAAUUUCAGGCAAGUAACAUACCGAUGACAAAGGGAACAACAUAUAUCAUUAUGCAGUUUGACCAAUAAAGAUCUUCGUAGAAUAUGUGGGAGCCAAUAUGAACAUCCAGGUUCCGCUAUUGGUUAUUGACCGAAGACGUGUCUCGGUCAUGUCUACAUAGUUCUCGAACCCAUAGGGUCCGCACGCUUAACAUUCGGUGACGAUUGGUAUUAUGAGUUUAUGUGUUUUGAUAUAUCGAAGUUUGUUCGGAGUCCCGGAUGAGAUCGGGGACAAGACGAGGAGUCUCGAAAUGGUCGAGACGUAAAGAUCGAUAUAUUGGAAGGCUACAUUCGGACAUCGAAAAGGUUCCGAGUGAUUCAGGUAUUUUUCGGAGUACCGAAGAGUUACGAGAAUUCGUAUUGAGCCUUAAUGGGCCAUGCGAAAAAGAAGAGAAAGGCCUCAAGGGUGGCCGCGCCCCUUCCCCAUGGACUGGUCCGAAUUGGACUAGGGAAAGGGGGCGCCCCCUCCUUCCUUCUCCUUCUCCCUUCCCUUUUUCCUAUUUCAUGUGGGAGGUGGAAUCCUACUAGGACUAGGGAGUCCUAGUCGGACUCCACACUUUGGGCACGCCCUAUGAUGGCCGGCCUCCUCCUCCCUCCAUCCUUUAUAUACGUGGCCAGGGGGCAUCCAUGGACACACAAGUUGAUCAUUGAUCUCUUAGCCGUGUGUGGUGCGCCCCUCCAUCAUAAUCCACCUCGGUCAUAUCGUAGCGGUGCUUAGGAGAAGCCCUGUUCCGGUAGCAUCAUCAUCACCGUCAUCACGCCGUCGUGCUGACGAAGCUCUCCCUCGACACUCUGCUGGAUCGUGAGUUCGUGGGACGUCACCGAGCCGAACGUGUCAGAUCGCGGUGGUGUCGUACUUUCGGUACUAGGCUCGGUCGAUCGUGAAGACGUACGACUACGUCAACCGUGUUGUCAUAACGCUUCUGCUUACGGUCUACAAGGGUACGUGGACAACACUCUCCCCUCUCGUUGAUAUGCAUCACCAUGAUCUUGUGUGUGCGUAGAUUUUUUUUUUGAAAUUACUGCGUUUCCCAAUAGUUAUAGGGGUCGCAGGUUUAAAGGGUCUGCUAGAGUUGCUUGCCAUCCAAGCUUGUCGGACCGAAUCCUUACUACGGGCCUACUCAAGGGAUCUCGCAGUGAUGAUAGUUUUUCACCGGUCAGACCCAUCGUUUUUGUCAAUGGCGAACCUUUUGCUACGAUCUAGUCCUUGAUCCGGCCAAUCCUAGUUCAUGGUGUCUGACAUUUACUACUAUCUCAAUUCUGGUUUAUUGAUUUUCGUUGUUUUUUGUCAAAUUUUAACCAUAAGUUUAACUGACAAAAUGUCCAUGCAUGUCAUUAAAAAUAUAUUAAUGAAAACUAUGUUCAAAUACGAAUCUAACGAUAUAAUUUUUGUUGACAUGCAUCAACAUUUUGUUAAUUAUAUAUUUGGUUAAAAUUUGACACAAGUUACAUAGAGGAUCAAUAAAUCAGGAUGGAGGGAGGUAGUACUCCGUAGCAGAACCCUUGUUCCUUCUGAAUUGAAUCUGCCCCAUGCAUGUACGUGACAUAUUGAAACAAUUUUUCACUCCACAAAAUAGUCGGCGGAUCAAUUGCGUUUCUAAUGUACGAUGGUCGAUCACACGUUCAGAGGAGGCCUUGCUGGUAGCAGAUGUCGAUGGUGUGGUUGGCCAUGAUCCGGUUCACCUUCUGCGUGGGGUGGAAUGCGUCCCAGAAGAGGAACUUGUCGGCGUCGGCGCAGGUCAUGGGCGCCUCGUCGUUGCACAUGAACCCCAUCUCGAACCUCCCCGUGGCGCAGCACCCUUCCUCCACGUUCUCCAGCCCGAACUUGGCCGGGUUGGUGACGAGGUCGAGCAUGGUGUCGUAGACGGGGACGUAGGCGAGCCUGAGGUCCGGGAGCUCGGCGCGGAGUCCCCCCAGCAUGGCCUCCACCUUGGCGUUGUACUCCCUGGCCACCCGGUUGUACUCCUCGAUGCAGCCGCCGCCGUGGAUCAUGUUCUCGGCGCGCUCCAGCGGGAGGCAGCCGAUGGGGGUGAGCCCCGCGAAGGUGACGCGGCGCGCGCCGAGGCGAUGGAUCUCCGACAGGAAGCGGCGCGCGCCGGCGACGAGGAAGUCGGAGAACUCGGCCACCGUGUACUCGGCGAAGCGGCCCGUGCCGAGCAUGUAGUAGUUCUCGAGGAAGUCGUUGGUGCCGAUGCUGACGACGUGGAGCGCGCCGCGGACGAUGGCGCGGGCGCGCUCGGCGCCGGCGUACGCGCGCAGGCGGAGCUGGUACUCCUUGUAGUACUCCACCUCCUUCCACAGCGGGAUCACUGACUAAGGGGACGAGCUUGUCAGUGCAUGCAUGCAGGUUUGACAUUGGAGUAUGCAACAAUAGAUCCAAAAUUAUCUACAUUAUCAACGGUGUCUGUAGCACUCUGUUCGUGUGAGUGAUAAGAGUGGGUAGUGCCACAUUCGAUGAUUGCAUAUAAGGAAUGAUUUGGGAUCUCUGAACAGUAGGAACGGCGGCGCAACUCGAUCCAAAAGUAGUAGGUGAAUCUAGAGCUUAAUGCAUCACAUGGAAGAAUAUGGAUGGUAGUCGUUGUGCUUUCAAAUUCCAGUUUGCAUUCAGUGUCAACCGAUCACAAAAUUGAUUGAAAGUUAUGAAAAUUUUCAAGCAAGUGUGGUGGAUACGGCAAAAGCCAGAACAAAAGCAAGUGCAGUACUCCUACACCGCAUUAUUUAGUCAAAAAAUGAAGUGCUGGACUGUAGUACGCACGUUCCUACUCACGCACUGUCUACACACCGGCGACGCCAGCCGCCUGUGGCCAUGAGAGGCGACUGGUCGCACCUCGUCUUCCGGUCUCCCCUCCCCACACUCCGCCUCGCCCGCGGGCACACGGAUUGGCCUUGGCAGACGGCGCCUCGUCGAGCCCAUGCAUGCGCGCCACGUGGCAGAACCUAAAAAUCUUGCCAAGCAGAAAUGCUGGCACAGGUAGUUGUUGAGCCUUGAAUGGCGAACAAGAACAUGCUAUCUCCGCCGUCUAGAAAUGCCAUACUCCAGCAGGUUUGCCAAAAAACGGGGGUGCUCCAAAACUGCUCAGCGGAGAAACCAUCUCCCGCCGGAUCCUUAAACCGCCGAGAAAUGACAACUGACGAACGUACGCUACGAAUCGUACUGUUAGUCUGUGACUGACCGGGGAGGGCCCCUGCUCCCUACUCGGCUUUGAUUUCUUCUGCCUUUCUCACCCACCUCCCUGCGGCGCGCUGUAAUGAGUAACGAUCCAUGGCUAAGUACGUAAUCGACGUGCACCACACCCAUACGCAGGCGUGUGCACGUACAUGUCGCUAAGUUCAUGUCGCGCUCUGUCGCUCUGACAAUAUUUGCCGGAAAAUCUCACGAAAUCACUAGUAGUGCUGCUAUUGUAACCAGGAGUAUUGAGCAGCACGGUCAACAUUACGGUACGAACUACCGGGGCAUGCGGUGCUUACCAGGACGCCGGCGGUGGCGUUGUCGACGCCGGUGCCGGCGGAGGCGAAGCAGACGCCGCGCGCGAAGUCGCCUAUGCCGUAGGCCGGGUCGAGGUACGCCGGGACGAGCGGCGGCAGGCCCAGCGCCUCGGAGAUGAAGUCCGGAGGCAGCCGCCCGUUGCCGAACCGCCCCGUGGCGCGGGCGCCGCCCGGCAUGUCGCGGCCGUAGGGCGGGAAGUCGGACCGCAGCGUCGUGCCGAUCUGGUUGUUGUUGCCCGUGUCCACCGUGGAGUCGCCGAACACGAUCACCGCCGGCACCACCGCACCAGCAGCGCCGCCCGAGUUGAGCGCCAGCAUUACCAGCGGAAGCAUCAGCAGCGCCGCUUCCACUUGGAAAUGGCCGGACGCCAUGGGAGCCGAGGCCGGCAGCGAGUGCAGCAGAGUGGUUAGUGUGUGUACGAGUGGUGUAAGCAGAGAGUGAUGGGGAUGAGGGAGCGGCGUGUCAUCGUAAUAAAUAGAGGUAAGCGACACUUCCGACUGCCCGCUAGUGCCCAUGGGCUCCCGCGACCGCACCCGCGUCGGGUGAGCGCCCCCGGCGCCGGCGACUCGAUCUCCCUUCUCCGGCUACCCCUGCAGCUGCCGAGGCCAGAUCCGGAGUCCCCUGCUUGCCCUCUCUCUUCUCCCUGCGAGGCUCAGCCCGACGUCAAGCAGAUGGGAAGGAUGGUGCUGUCGCGUCCGUGCAAGUGGCGGCUGGGCGCGCGCCACCGACGCACGGAUCUCCGGCCUCCGUGCUCCGUUGCGGCCGCUGUGACCGGAUCCGGGUGCCCCGAGGCGCGCUCUCCCACGUCCUCAGCGCCGCCCUGCGCCCCGGUUCGCCCUGCGAUGCCGCUCGAGGAGGCCUCCGCGGCGGCCGCCGCUCCGGCGGCGUCUCCGGCUGUUGCAGCCGUCGUCCUUCCGCCGUCUGCAUCGUCAUCCCGGGCUGAUAGCGUCGUGGAGACCAAGGCAGGAGUAGGGUCGUGCACUUGGGCUGCAAGCACCAUCCCGGCUGCUGGCGUUGUCCCUCGACCGCGGCCGCUGCCGCCAGCUUGCAGAUUCAGGAGGGAGGAUGGGGGUGUGAAGGCCUCGUGCACGCCCCAUCUCAAUCCUGCGUCAACAUCUGCUUCUGUCCGGACUCAUGCCGCCCCCGUCCCUCUUGUCGGUGUCGUCUCAAGUGUGCUGCUGCCGGCCCCUGCUGCCCCGGCGAAUGGAGAGGAUGGGCGUUGUGAAGAGGAUCCGGCUCUGUCGUUGCCCGCCAAUGCAAAGACCACCGUUGUUGCCAUGGGGCGUGAGCUAACCAGUGCACCGCGAGCCCGAGCCCUGUUGCCGGCCCCUGUGGCCCCGGCCAAUGGAGACAAUGAGGGCUGUGGAGAGGAGAUGGCCUUGACGCUGCCCGACAAUGCAAAAAGCAUCGUUGCUGGCAUGGGCAACGGGCUGACCGAUGCACCAUGAGCUGUGUUGUGGGCCUCCGCUGCUGACAACAAUGACGAAGAUGACGACGAGGAGUUGGCCCCCCAGACGCCGCCGACUGUCACCAAAGCCCUCGACUCCGAAGGGAUUUACAUGGGCCAUGACACAGACACAAGUGAGGGUUGGCAGGAGGUGCUACCGCGGCGCGGCCCGCGUCGUUCGACUUCGUCGCCAUCCUCGAUGAUGGCUCCUCGUCCUCCUCGUCCCAUCCCUGCUUGGCUCCAUGGUAGAUGUUGUAGAUGCCUUGCUUAUGGGCAUCGUGCGGUUGUUUGCAGAGAUCCGUUGCGGUGCUCUCGUUGUUUGGAGAAUGGUCAUCGUGCGCGUGAAUGUCGCAACCCCCGGCGUCCUCUGAGCUCAUUAUCAUGCCUUGAUGUGCCGCAUGUGUCCCGCCUCGGCACCGUGCAUCGUGUUGCUCCUGCUUCAUGUGAGGGUUCGGUGAGAUCCACACCCCCUUCGAAGGCGCUUCACCGUGGGUCUUGGGCAUUUGUUGUCUCUGUUGCUGCUGGCUCGGCAACCCCGUCCGAGCUGAUGUUGCAGUCCGCAUUGGCUGAUCAGACUGCACUAUUGCAAGGUUGUGUGGCGCGGGUUGAGAGCUUUCUGGAGCGAGCGGAGGUUGCUCUGGGUAGACUAUCCCUUGUGCCGGCUCUGUUGCAGACCACUCUGACGUCACAUUCUCCUUGUGUGGCCGGUGUUUGCUCCGUGGAAGACAGGGGUGAGGAGUUGUAUGGCUCUUUCUCCCCUCGUGUUGGAGUCCAUUCAUCGUCGGUGCCUACCUCCCCUCCUAUGGUGUCUUCCACUGAGGGCGAGUCCAUCGCCGUGCUUGUGACUCCGGUGCUGCAGAUCAUGCCUGAGCUUAGGGAGCUAUGCCUGAGUCUAUCAGUGGAGCAUACGAAGGUGGACAUGUCGGCGGCCUCGAUUGAAGGACAAGUUUCGCCUCUGUCAAGUGAGCAGUUGGAGGUUUCUUUGGUUGAUGAUGCUAAAGGGAAGGCAGCUGCAAUUUCAUGAUUGGUAGUGCUUAGUGUUUCGCGUUGUCCACGUGGCUUUGGUCUUUUGAGUCGUAGAAGUGGCUGUGGUUUAGUGUGUGUUGGGAGCAUUUGGUGGACCGUCUACGUGGUCGUGAGAGUGAGUCGCUUCUGGAGUGUCACUUUUGUAGUGUUUGUAUCAGUUUUCGCCCGGUUUUCCUAAAUUAACCGAGCAAUUCUCUUCUUCUUAAUUAAUCGAUGAGGCAAUCCUUUUGCCUCUGUUUCGAAAAAAAAAUAGAGGUGACGUGAGAAUCAUUGGGGCGGUGGGAACUGUAGCGACAGCAUGUCAUGCAGAGGAGGAUUGAUAAGUUAUUACUGCAUGCACGGUCAUUAUAUCACUUACUUGCAAG